UGCACUCGAAAAUAAAAUAAGUCACCGGGUUAUCACCUAAUGGUGAUGUAUGCAGGCGCCGCAGCUCUCCCUCCAAUCACGGCUGCGUCCCUCGCGCAGGUGCGUGGGGCCUCCGCCGAACUGCUGGUGAUGGUGGAGAUGGUGCUGGAGGGGCGGCCUGCACUAGUAGAGGCGCUAGCUGCGGCGCUCGUGUCAAUGCUGCGGAGUCAUGGUGCAGAUGCGGUGGCGUCUCGGCUGUGCAGCCGCCAGGUGCUGACGGCAGCGCGCAAGGAGCUGGGACUAGGCGCCGCAGCUGCCUGCGAAGCCUACGUGUAGUGCAGAAUCAAGUCGGUUGUGCACUGGCAAAGGUGGCAGAGCUCGAUGAUCCUUCUGUAGGCUUUGCUUGUUUCGCGAAGAGUGGCCAACAGGGAGGGCAAGGGUAUGUCUGCACGGAAAGUCUGAGCGGGGCUUCGACUUCCAUGCCCGUUGACGUUGUAGCUACGCAAGCCCUAGCGGAAAUAAGCGCACGGAGCAUGGUAUCACUGUCGGUACAAUGCAGUACGUUGUUGGUCUCUGGAGGUGGCCUUCCAUAAAGCCGUUGCCUGCAUCGUAAUUGCGCAGGCAGCCAUGUAAGCACUGCUUAUUCAAAUGCGAUGUCCCAUGGCAUAUCUCAGGUGGAACGUCAACUGUGCUCACACCACGUCCUAUGAUAGAUUAGGUUCGACGAACCGAGGAAGGAGCAGCACUCGGAUCCUCAAGCCUAACCUGCAUAACGCAGCUUGAAUGAGGCCUGACACGCAACCCCAUAAUCUAGUCCUAAUCAGUCCACGGGCCCUGCACAUGCUGCACACAAUUGGCCCUGACCGGGACACCCGGGAGGGUGGGCAGCCUCUCGUCUGGACCCCGAACUGCCCAACCCCGGUCGGUUGCUCUCAGUACUUGAGCGGCGCCGGCAUAGGCCACACUUGCUCGCUCUCCAGGUCUACGUUGACUGGCGCGUCAAAGAUAUCCAGGUAUUCAGCUACGGUGGGUGCGUCCUGAGGACCGGGAGAAGAAGGGACGGGCACGUAAGAAAAAGCAGGAAUGAUGUCUUCUAUGGGUUGCAAUUGCGCUAGGCAUCUGGAAUAAAAGCAUAUGUAACCGACCGCUAGGCAGUGAACUUUCCUAGCUGUACAAGGGGAGCCCCUUGCAAAGUGGGUAGCUACCACCCGUCACAAGCUGCAGCUGUCGUGUGUCAAGCAAACACAGCAUGCGGCUUGCAGCCAGGUGUCCGCAUGUGGGUUAUCCUCGAGGAUAUACGCCGUCCCGGGGUACCGGCUGAGAGUCACUUAGGAAAGGGUGCAACAUACUUGCGAGCUGACCAGGAACUAAGUUGAUGCGCCGUUGAUCCGCUAGAUUUGGUUGGAUGCUGGUGGUGAGUUGCCGAACCCAACGAAUACAUUCUGAAGUCGGAUGGGGUGACGGAUUAGGGUGCCCCUCUAGCAGGGGAGAGCAAGGACUGCCCCGGGAAAGGGGGCCGCUGGCGAAGUUAACCACCCUGUAACAACAUACAUACUAGGCAUACGUCCACGUUCGUGUAAGCUAUGCGGUGGCCCCUUACGUGCUAUCAAGUUGCAUUACUGACCUCGGUGGGUGUGAGGGACAGCACGACUUCUUGCGCCGGCACGUCAUCCAAGGACGAUUCCACGGAGUUCAGCUUGCGCCGUGUCUCGGGCUGAUAUCACCGUUGAACAUGGCACGGAAAACCUAGCGUUAAGUACUUGUGUGCCAUACAAGACUCCGGUGGCUCAAGGGACGUGGGGGGAUGUCUGAAGUAUCAAAGCCAAUUCUAGGGUUACUCAACGGGUCAGCGUGCGCCACCAUGGAUCGGUACAGCAGUAGGAGCGAAUCUGCCUAGGUCCCCUAAGAACUACCCUCGAUUGGACACGGUUGUCGCAAUGUAUUGACCGAGCCUAGCACAACUGGUCAUGCGCGAAUGUGACUCACAUCUUGCGCCGAAGCAAGCUCCGGGCCAGCUUUCCGAAGGAAUGCAUUAAUAUUUGAAGCGGACUUGACGGCCCUGCAUGCAGGGUCAAGGCAUAGAGCCGGUUAAACACCCUGCAAUACUAGCCUGGUGCAAUCCUGGAGCAACCUGCCGUGUCAAGUUUGCACGGCCCCUUGCCAUCCGUCACAUCUCCCAUGGCAAUUCGAAAUUCUUUAGCUCUGUUGUUCGAACACCUAUCCAGUAACCCUCCGUAACCGCUCAAUCUUAUACCCCAGCCUGGGCUUCAGACCCGGCCCUAUCUGCUUUGAAAGAGGCGCGAGUCCAGGGCCUCCUCUGGCCACCCGGGGAUGGUAGGCCCUGGGCCUACGCCUGUUCCAAUCCGAUACAUCCCAUCACCUUCCUCCCUGCCCCUAUUCCUCCCCGUGACCCUACAGCCCACCGAUACAUCCGCGCAAUCUCUUCUGCCAGCCUUUUCCAUAGACACAUGCAGCCUGAAUGCAACCCUAAGAACAAACAUCGAGCUCCAGCUUCGAUGUAGGGCUGCCGGAAGCCUGGGGCUCCACUGCACCCAUCACCCGCCCACAGGCACAACCGCUCGCCAACCAGGCACUCAGCCCUUACUGCUACUGGUAUGGGGGCCCGUUUUGAGCUCGUUUGAUACCAAGCACGCCUUCCCGCACCUAGCUAUCCAAUCCCCAGUCCUGAGUCUUCUUCAUACACAGACUGCCUGCCUCCCUGUCAUCCUUCCACCUACACGCACCCGAAUGUGUCCAGCGGGUCCAUCACCUCCACAGAGCUGGCGGAAGGCACGAACGCGGCGUACCAGGCGUUGAAGUAGCGCGCAGGCACAUCCUCACAGCUGGAAAUGACCUGAUGGGGCGACAGGCAGGCCACGACAAUAGUCAGGCCGCCUGACCCAAUGGACUUCCAGACAAGGGACCUGACGUCAUGUGUGUCAAACUGAUUGCGCAGCAAAAUAAAUGUACACCACAGUCCCAUGUCCAGCAAGGCAAGGCGGCAGGCCAACUGGUAUGGCGCCCUGCAAGGGUAUCACGGGUGAAGUGCACGACAGCCAGUCCUGGACAAGGCGCUUACCCUUGCUUCUGAUAAUCGCAAUUCUGAACCCUGGGUCAGCACGUCUCGAAGCACUCCCAUAAGCUGCGGAGUUUUCCCCUGCAAUGGUGUGCGAGACAACAGGCACAUGGAAGUUAGGAAACGUUCCAUUGUGCCUAUCCAUUGCUACAAACCCCGCAGCGCCGAAAGAUCAUCAAAAUUAGUCCACAGGUCAUGUCAGCACUUGCUUUGGGCAAACCCCAUGCCAAGAUCUGGGGGCUUACCUCAAUAACGUGGAUAUAGCAGAGAGGGUACACCAGUAAGAAGCCUGUGAUCUCACCGUCCUGCCCGUGUUUGUCUAUAACGCGCGAUAGCUGCACUGCAUUGCAGAAGGAAUGGGAAGGCUGUGAAACCGGGGCCGGGGAGAACGCUGGGGGAAGGGGAAGAGCUGUGAAAGGUCGGUUUUGGUGGUAUGUGUACGGUUGACCCCCGGUAGCAACCCGCUAGGCUUUGUUAUUUUCCGCCCAGUGACUCACGCCUGACGCUUUCCAUGCUAUUGUGUCUUUGCACCAUACGUGCCACGUAUACUAUCCGUGUGAUGAGGACAUUCUGCAUCAGGGAGUACACGGGUAGGAUGAGUUCUCUGGACCGUGCCUGUGGAGAGCAAAAGAUUGCCGACCUUUCCAGCUUUUGCGACUUUGUUCAGGAUGACGUCGAGGAGAGAGUCUCGUGGCCCUGCCUCCAGCUGACUGCGUAGCGCAUCGGCCAUCCUCGCCAAUGAUAAUUGUUUACUAGGACAAUUUGUUGCUCAACUCUAAAAUAUAUUAAAGAGGGUAUAAGGCUAAUCGCUUGGAAGGAGCAAGAUUACUGCUUUGGUCAAAGAGGAGCAACGAGCUGGAUGGUUAUCUUCAUCGGUCAAUUAUGACACGGCUUGAAAACUCAGCAAUGCUACCAUGACAACUUUGCUCCGAAUAGGACGGUGAUGCGAUGCGUUUUGUCGACGUUUCUAAGGGCGGGCAUUUAUAUAUUUCAAUACAGAUCACGAAGUGUACAAUUCCAUAGCUUGUACCAACUACAACAUAAGCUAUCGGUCAUCUUUUUUUGUGUUUCCGGUAUCUCUAUGCUGCUGCUCAGCCGCUGUGCUGGGCCAAGCUGGCCAAGCCUGGGGUCCCACUUAACUUUACCUCUCCAUGGCCUCGCCGAUAGGACGUAGUGCGUAAAGAUGCGUUCCAUUGCUGGAAGCGACUACUGCUAUGAGACCCCAGUCUCCAACUCUCUAUCCGAAAGCAACUCCCAAACCGCUACAACCGACAGAACAAUUGCCGUUGGAUCUCGGGUGUCCGGUUUAACCUUGUCGAAAAUAAUGAAGGCCGGGUCUCAGACAAAAAACGUUGCGCUGUGGCUUGCCAUGAGGAUUUUACAAUAUAAGCAUAAGGGUGCAUUUAAACCAGUUCAUCAAUCACUCCAAAUGGCAGAAUCAAUACAUGCCAACCCGCAACCUUCCCAACCCAACUGACCGCAACCUAACGAUGACGCGCGUGAGUGCAGAACGCACGUGAUGGACACAGACGUGGAAACAUCCGUGUUUGCCUGCUCCUCUUCAGGGGUAAUCAAAACGAUUGCCCCGCCAAGACCACCCUUUUGCGCCACCAAGGAUAAAGUAGGUAAAGACGUCAAGAAUCUUGUUUGUCCAAAAGCCCGCAGACCCAACAGUUCAUCGGCUUCGGCUAUUGCAGAACAGCUACUGAAGCCCACGCUCUUGCGCCACAACCCAACGGCUCCAGGAGGGUCCUACUGAGCGGCUGUUUGCUCUCAUCAUCCCACCCGCCGCUAUCUACACACUAUCCAACACCUCCGGCAACAUCACAAAAUAUGUUUCCGGGCGCCGAAAAGUGGGCCAUAUACGUGCAUCCGGCCCCGACCUCAUUAGCUGGCCGCAGCAUGCACGGCUGCCCCAAAUGCGUGGCGAUCUGCUCUGGCGGCGGAACUCAGCGGUCCCUCCACACCCACAUCAACUCCACUGCGUAGUUAAUGACGUUUGACGCCCCCUUGCAAGCCUCCCGGAGCGGCGGCAAUAGAAGCCACGACGUGAGGGCUUGCUUGGUGACUACCAGGUAGAUCAGGAGGGAGGCCAGCAGCCAAAUGACCACGUUGGCACCUUCCACCGCCAUCGCGUUUCGAAGUUGCUGCGGAUUGCCAAGUAAAGUAAGACGGGAGACAGAAAAUAGGUGGCCGUCCGGUGUGACGGGGCAUGCAACCACGGGGCAUGCACAGGGCGGGUAUUGCAAGGGAGAAAGAUACAUGUUACUUAAGUCUUCACUGGGACAUGUGGUGCCAUAUGCGAGAGGCCGGCAAACAGCCGCAUGCGCCAUCGGCCAGCACGCUGGGAGCUUUGGUGGAAGUGUGAUGAACGUGUGCGCACACGCACCUCCCUCCGCAGCUCCGGCUCCGUCUCAAUCAUAGUUCCAUAACGCGCAGGGCCUCGGAAAGCCGGAGUCGUCGUUGGUGUUGUCUGCAACAGCGAAAGCGUGCAAGGCGUGGAAAGGCACUUGUGGGAGUUCUGACCGGCGCGUGACAAAUUGGCCUAUUGUGGCCUACUGCCAUUUUGCAAGGCCGUUGGGCCGAUGUUCAUGGGAACGGCGUCUGUGCUCUGCGUCAUGCACAGAAGAGCAAAAGUCAAACCCUCUGGCUCUGUUUUUAAUUUGUCGCAGGCAGGUUCAUGGGAGCUACCUGCGUGCUUGAAGCUCGUUGCCCGGCGCCAGAGCUCAGAGAGAUGGAUGCCGUCGCUGCGAGCCUCCGCACCCCCGGUACUGGGAAGGUGGCCAUAUGGAGCGGCAGGGAGAGGGCCAUCCGGCUGGACAGUUAAAGCGACGGUGUAGGUUCGUUCCUAGUCGAGAGACUGAAGUUGACCCAGUUUGUCUGUCGUCUCGUCGAAACGGAAGUAAGCUCAGAACUUGUUCUUGUUGUGUAGCGUUAAGCUAACGUUUUAGACAUAAUGCUGAAUUAGGUGCUUUUGCUAGAUAGCGCUAUAAAGAUUUAAUUCGUUACGGAAAAGCGGGGCUUUUCCAAAGGUGCGAGGCUGUCGACGGUCGUCAGAUCAGCUGUACGAAUCUAGGCUGGUAUAUUGGAUAGCCUCUCGGAAUUCCGGAACCGUUGGUACCAGGUCUGGUGCGCUGAUACGAGCUGAUUCCUAGCGGCCCACCAAGUCGUUUCACGUUGGUCUGCACAGACACGCAAACAAGAUUUUACAGUAUUUUACCCAAAUCGUCAGUAUCCCGGAUCGCUUGUCUAGGUAUUUGUUCCGCUGCUGAAAAGGGCAGUCACACGCCGGUCGAAAUUUUGGGUUGACUGAAUCAAGUUCAUUCUAAAGGACCCGAUUGCCGUGCGGCAGCGUGCAAACGCAACCAAACAAGGCCCAAACCUGUUGUGGUUAAUAGCCAAGGCAUAGGCACAAGGGCCAGGUAAAACACCUGGCUAAAUUUCGAGUUAUUGCCAGUGCCUCGGGUUGGUGCUAGGUUUUAUUGGUGCGCCGUUGUGGGACGUAUGGCACUAUAUGCCACUGGGGUAGGUUGAACAGUUCGCGGUGCCUGUAUGUACGGCUAGUGACUGACUUGGUUGUUGGUCCCCCUUGUAUUAUCGCUCACUAAACCUCCCUCACUCAUAGCAACGCCAUCGCAAUUCAUAUGCAGUUAGAGGCGGCGGACGUCGUGGACGCACAUGUUUCGUUACAGGGAGUGAGAUGAUAAAUGUAUGGGACGCCUGAGCGCGUAGCACACUUAGCACACACGGGACGUAAUCCUGCGGGCUGUCGUACUCGGCGCACCUACCUUCAUCAAGCUUACAGUCGCGAUCACGACAAGGAAAGCACGCAUCAUAUAACUGUCACCUGAUCGUUGUGAAAAUUAUGCAUCUGGAGAGACCAAUUGAGCGCGACUUUUGUCUUGCCUAGGUAGCCCGCGGCCCCAAACAGUACAGCCGUCGUACUUCAACGAAGGUUAGGCAAACAUCACGCCACUUACUUCACCUUACUGUGCUUGGCUAGUAUUCUCACGUCCAUACGCUUUGGGUGACGUUGUGGAGCUCUGAUUUGCCUAUCUCUAUCACGACUUACUCAGACGCUGUUCCAGGAAUCAAAUAAAUUAUAAGAUUAAGUAAAAUGGCGAACAAUAUGGCGCAACAAUUAAUUGAGCAGACAGUAGUAUCGUUAGCGCGCCAAAUGGAAGCGCAAGUCGACCGAGAGUUACAAAAGCUUGACCAUCUUGGCGAGGAUGACAUCGAAGCCAUCCGACAAAAACGAAUGGUCGAAAUGAAGCAGCGUCAAGAUAAAAUGAAGGAGUGGGCUGCUCGCGGGCAUGGCGAGUAUACAGAAAUACUUACGGAGCAGGACUUCUUCAGGGAGAUGAAGGGAGAGGAGCGUAUGGUGUGCCACUUUUACCGGGAAAACUGGCCGUGCAAGGUGGGAGACAAGCGCGCGCCUUGAAAGGGGGCGGGGUAAACGGACCCAGCUGACACGAGUAGUGACACAGGUCAUGGACAAGCAUUUGAGCAUCCUUGCGAAAAAGCACAUGGAGACCAAGUUCGUCAAGGUAAGUUUUGCUUCUGUACAGCCCCAACAGGGUACCUAUGCUUACAGAUUGCGGGGCUAGGAGGUGAUGUGGGUUCAGCCAUCUACCCCACCCCUGAACGAGUAUUGGUGGCUGGUAAAAGAUGAGAGGGUAAAUUGAGGUUAAGCUUAUUAUGCGAUGGUUUGCUUUAAAACUUCCCUGCAUGGUUUGCGCAAACACAGCGCUUGCUCUGUUCUUUUCACCCUUACGCGACGCCUUGCCAGCAUGGGCCGUAUGCUUCGGAAAGGGACGCAGUAUACGAGCCUUCACAUUUAUUUGUAGAAGGCCUGGACUAGGAGAGCGUUUGUGCCGUGUAAGUACAGUGCCAAGUAGGAGGUGCUGCUCGUUUGCCGUUUGCCCUCGGACUGCAUGGCGCCAGAGUUUUAUAAUUUUCCAGCACCCGUACAGCUACCUUUUCCACCUGCCUACCUUCCAUCAGGUCUGUCUUCAAAAACCGUGCAGCAUGCGUUCGUGGCCAUCUCAAUGCGUCUCCGCCGGGUGCUGUGCUGCCAUACCUCGUCGCUUUGCAGAUCAACGCAGAGAAGAGCCCCUUCCUGACGGAGAGGCUCAAGAUCUGGAUGCUGCCCACGCUGGCGCUUGUCCAAAACGAAAAGACUGUGGACUAUGUUGUGGGAUUUGAUCAGGUGGGCACUCCGAUGUGGCGGCAGGGCGGAAGUAGGGAGCAUCAGAUUCGGGCUGGAGGGAACGGACACCUCGCGCACUGCCCCCAGGGAGGGGACGCUUGCCUCGCGGCCCAGAGUCCACGGUGCAUUUGGGUGCACUCAUAAGCAGCCUUGAGGGUGCAUUUUUGCGCGGGAGGGUUUAGGUGGCUUGGAGUAGGGUGCAGGGUUCCGCAGGGACCACAUGCCAUGUGGUGGCCUUUCCUGUAUGCGUGGGACCCAACGCUUUUGCACCCAGAUGGGGCGCCUGUGCGUAGCGAUACAGAGCAACGCAGCGUGCCGCUUGCAGUUCCCAUUUGCGUAUGUUGAGCACGGCAAAGGUGAGCGAACGCGAGACCCUCGCGUUUAUAAACUCAUGCUGCGCCACAUUUCUUCGCCAUGCAAUAGUUGGGCGGCAAGGACGACUUCGAGACGUCGGUCCUGGAGGAGCGGCUGGCCAAGUCGGAGAUGUUGGACUAUGACUGGAGCGCAGGCGGGAAGGCGGCCGCAGCGGCGCCCAAGGGCAUUCGGAAGGGCGGGGGCGGCGCAUACAAGAAGACAGAGUCCGACGAGGACUCAGACUUUGAUUGACUUUUUGACAUCGAAGCAAAGUGCAGUGAUGCGUUGGUUCCAAUGACGUGGAAAGGCUUCAGCUGCGUAUACUAGUUGUACUGAUAAAGUUGUUGACGCGCAGGAGGAAAAGUAAGUGAACUGAGAGGGUGAGGCGUUGCUGCUUCUCUUGUAUGUUUAUUCACAAACGUGCAGAUGGUGCCUAUCAUGCUCCUACCCAGGCUGUGGUAAAGAGCAACAAGUGCAUGUUUGCAGAGUUAGUAACAUAACCCGCAGUGUCUUCCGGAGUCAAUCUCAGGGACUAUAUCGUAUGGAUGCCAUACGAUCCGGUUGCUGUUGUUUACGUGACGUUGCUGUUCGACUUUAACUUGGUGUGCUGACUCAGAUAUGGUCUGCGUGCUGUCCAGGACCGUUUUCCAGUGCACUCGCCAAGGAUGCCAAUUUACAGCUACUUGUACGAGCGGUUACUUCUGGCAGGCUCGCAGCAGGUGUAAAAUAUAGUGACUUAACUGCUCCUACGGUUGACAAAUGUUUCAGCAAGUGCCUUCCGGUGCUCGCUGAUGUGUGCCCCGUAAGGUGAUAUCUCUGCCUGGCCUCGAACCAAGCCCCCGAAGCCAUGGCGUUCACUGGGGUCAAGUGUUCCCCAUGCAUCCUGAUAAUUCAAGUCAACAGUUAGCUUGCGUUUCCCGUUCAUUUUUAGCCGCAGUCAUACCAUCCCGUCCGAUUGCCGCUGUGGCAUUCACGGUGUGUUUAUGGGCACCAUUGAAAUUGAAGAGGCUGUCGCUUCUGUAAUCCGGACAUCCUUUCAGAAUGUAUCCAACCCGAUGCGGAGUCAAGUCAGCAGAAAAAGCUAGAACGGCCCCAAUCAGCCUUUCUUUACCGCACCGAACCCCUUAUUGAUUUUCGGUGGCGGCACGCGCACGAUCUUUGCCCCCGGAUUGGCCGCCAAGUAUUCCUCCUCCAGCGCUACCAACGCCGGCCGCACAGCCUCCAGCACCGACGGCUUCAUUCGGUCAUGGAACAGCACGCCCUGUGAAAGAAGGCAGGUGAGGCAAGUCAUGCCGUCAGUAACUUUGUAUCCAUAUAACAGUGAACCUUUUGAGUCCACUGCCACAGGAAUGUAGUAACGUUAAGGGUCGCUCAGAAAAAACACAUGCAACACAUUUUCUUUCUGGCAACAGCACUGAAUAACUUCUAUGACCUGAACGACGACGUAGUCGUGUGUUGUGAUGCCUGGAGAUCAGCGCUACCGGCUUAGCGCAGACGCACCUGCAAGUGGUCGUACUCGUGUUGAAAGAUCCGGGCGACCCAUGGGUCUGUCAGCUGCAAUCUGACAGGCUGCCCAUUCGCGUCGAGCGCUUUAACCGUUAUUUGCCGUGAGCGCUGCGGCGGAUGGAUAGCAGCAACACAAAAAUGCUAUGAUCAGCAACAGAAAUUACGAAGCGCCCCGUGGUACAUGUCCAUGCUGCAGGCAGGAACCCAUGCGCACAGUGUGCCCAGGUGUAACAGGGCUGGAAUAGCAGUGGCCGCCCAUGUAGCAUUCAUCUGUGACUAAAUUGGAUCCCAUGAAGUUCUUCGUUUGGGCCUUUGCCCCGAGCAGCGCAACGUCAUCUUGAAGGCCAACGCCGAUGCGAAGAGGGCGUCACGCCAUGCAGCCCACGAAUACCCCGCCUGUAAUCAGCCCUGAAGGCUGGCAGCACAUGCACUGCCUUGGGUCCAUCGUUCUCCCACACUUAGAAACGCCCCCCACAAGGCCACUGCGCUUCUGCAGACCUCAACAUCCCCGUAGAUGCGCGGGAAGGACAGGCAGCCCUCUUCUCCCAGUUCCUUGCCGCCCAGCUGCUCCACAAUUUCCGGGUUGACGAGGAUGGACUCGUUCCCGGGCCGGUCGCGGCCCGCCGGGUUAAAAACCAUCAGCCGUAUAUUGACGCCCACUUGCGGCGCCGCAAGCCCAACGCCGUCGUCCCUACGGCCGAGCAGUUGGGAAACCAAGGCCGGGUUAGGGCGACGCAGUCAAAGGGCGAGAACCGAGAUGAGGGGCGGAUGAGGCAACGGAACGUUACCCUCAUGGGAACGAGACACAUCAGAAAGGGUGAAGAGCAGCACGGAGUAACGGGGGUUCAACAUCAACGGAAUGAUGGAAAUGGUUUGAGGUGUAUCACAAAAACGAGGAAAGAGAUGCACUAGACGUACUACGAGUAUGCCGAGUAUGUUUCAGGCCUAAGUCCGCAUGCAGUAGAGGCGGUACGGCUACAUGUCUCUCCUGUAUUCACAGGUAAGGGCCUCCUAACUUACUGGUACAUGACCUCGAUCAUUUCGUUGGCUAACCGCAGUAGCGAGUCAUCAAACACGCCAAUGCGUGCAUUGACGGCCCGCAGGCGCGGGUCAGGAUAUUUCACGAUUUGGAGCGGACUCGUCCAACUGAGCUUCGUGACUGUGCGGGGACACGGUUGGGUCUUACUAAAUCACCCGAGGCGCGUCGUACAUUCGCCUUUGGUGGCGAACCCAAAGCGAUGCCAUCAUGUUCAACCAGGCAGGAUUGUCACAUGCGUGCAAUAGCGGUUACGUCUCCUCAGCCGCCUGUAGGGACAGCUUGGAGGGGCGUCACGCGCUAUCUUCUACGCGCUGCACAGUUGCCGGGUGGUAGGAGCUGGGCAGCUAUGAGGAUCUCCGGCGGUAGGAGCUGCAGCAUCACUAACAUUACACCCCUUUAACCGCGCAGGACUCACCAGUCGGCACCUCCACCAUCGCCUUGGCAGUUGCCCCGAAGCCUUUUCCGCUCUUCGUGGCCUGUGCGUUAACCGUGAACGCAAAUCUACGACCGGCAAGAGCCAGCCUAGCAGCGGAUCUUAGGCACGGAGCAUUAGGAGUAAAGAACAUGGAUGUCCUGGAUGAGCUCCAUGCAGCGGGACAGUUGAGUUCAGUCAUCGGCUAAGGAUACCAAUAACACGAUGUCACAUAAGUUGUCACAAGAAAUGAGCUACAUAUAGACUUCUUGAGGACACAGAGCGAGGCUGCAGUUUCCUGUGUCCGGCUGUGGCCUUUGUGCUCAUCCGUACACGAGGUCGGAACAAAUCUAUUGCUCCAAUUACUUUCCACAAAAAGCACUACGCAUAAUUCGUUGUAUUGGAUGGAUAUGAGCUAGGACUGAUGCGUCUCAGAUACUCCGCUUUCUACGAGCCCUACAGGCCCACAGGGGAUAUCCUAAAAAUUGUCCUUAGUGCUUUGCAUGGCUCAUUUCCAUAACUCAUCUACUGGGGGCGGAGACUGUAAGCUGCCUGCAUGCCUUGCCUAUUGCAUGUCUGCAAUGCAUGACGCCUUCCGGCCUCCCGCAGACGACUAUCCUGACGAUUUUACGGACAUAUCUGACGACCAAGACCUGCCAUUACCGGUGAGAAGGCUAACGACGACAGCCAGGAAUGGACAGCUUCCAGACCUAGCUAAGGAAUACUCGUACAUUUGCCGUGGUGACUAAACAGGGUCUUGACGCGCCUCCAUCAGUGUUGCUUUGGGAAGGAGGGGAUGAUUGGCGACUGCCGGGCCUCGUGCAGCAGGUAUGCCCUCUGUGUUCCUGAGCUCCGUGGGGAUAGGAUGGGGUUACGUUACACGUUUCCCAAGCCCACGACUAUCCUGCAACCUGGCACAUCGUCUGCAUACUUUACAGACUUCACCAUUGGCUCCACUAACACCUUGGCAAUGGAGAGACUUUGGUGCCCAUGUCCGUGAGGCGACCUGUUCUUUAACCGGACUUUCAGCUAAGGACCUCCCGUCCCUGGUGGCAAUCCCCGCCUCGUCUCGCACUUCAAGGAGCAGUCAGAAAGCGCUAUCAACGGUGGCAACGUGGACGACGGCGAGUUCCCCUUCAGGGUAGGCGUCCGGGGGACACGCCCGUCUGCUGCGGCCGCAGCCGGAGCCCCGGCUGCAAUCGACUCACACCAGCGGGACCCGUGGAUCAUGCAGCUCGGCACGGGGGAUUCAGGUCCCAGCAGUCCCAUCGCGUCGGGGCUCACGCAGGCGCGCUUCACUGGCAGUGCUAGUAUUGGGGCCGGCAUGGCGCCGCUGCGAAAUACCUCCAUCACAUCCGGGCGGUCGCUAUUCGGACCCUUCGGGUGCAGCAGCCUGCAGCACCGGGACUCGCUGGGAACAACGCAGCCGCACCCGCUGGCGCAUUCAGGGCAGCAUUACCAACACGUUUUGCCACAACAGGCGCCACGCCCCCCUCAGUCGCCGGUGCAGCAGCGGACACAGACACUCACAUCUGAGCAGCAGCAGCGGCCAAGGGACCAGGGCCGAGACCGGCCGAGCCGUACUGAUGCUACCCUGUCGGAAGUGGAUGAGGCCAGUGGCGAAGGCGACGAGGUUGGGGCCGAACGGGGCGGUGCUGACAGGGAUCCUUGGUCGUACCUCGACGCGGAUCCGUUUGUACUCGCCGCGUCGUCCUCCUGCUCCUCGUCCCUUUCCGCGAGCCGUGACCCCAGCCCCCAGCCGCACCCCGCCGCGUCUACACAGCCGUUUCCUAUGCCAUUUGGCAGUCGCGUCAACGGCCCUCGGCCGUGGUAUGAGGAGCCACAAUACGAGCGGCAUUUGGGGCUGGGGCUGGGCCUGGGGUUCGAAUCAGGGCUGGGCCAGCGCAGCAGUGGCAGUUACGGGGCGCGAGGGCUAAUCGAUGAAGAGGAGGACGAGGAGGCGCAGGAGCAGGAGGGCCAGCCGCGCGGGCUCGGUCGAGAGCUAGGCUCCUUCGGGGUGGAGCUUGGGGGGGGGGAAGGGCCGGCUGCGGAUACCCCGCACGGCAGCGGUGGCAGCAGCGAUAGUAGCCACAGCAGCUGGGCUGGGCAGCCCGGCCUUGACCCCGAGUAUGACGGGGCAGGACCGAGUGGCAGCCAGCCUGCUACCACCAUCACGGUUCUGUGGCCUCUGGGUGGCUCCAGGGAUGUUCUCCAUGGCGUCAGCGGUUCGCGGCUGCCGGCAGGGAUGGCGGCCGGGGAGACCAAUUGGGCUCUUGGGAGUUCGGGAGGGGAGUUGCGGCACCGGCACGCAAACCGGGCCCGGGCAAGCGAGCAGAGCGACGGGUGGCGACCGCCACAGGAUGGUGCUGGCACGGAGGAGCUGCAGGCGUCCAUCGGGGGUGAGGUUUGCGGGGUGGGGUUUGGCGACGCUGAGGGCUUCAUCUGCGCUAGGGGGAGGCCAGGGCCGGGGGGCCGCAAGUGGCCAUCGCACUUUUGAGUAUUGGCAGAUGCACCGUCUUCGUGUCCGCGUUCAUUCCAUCCUGCAAAGCUAGUUGGUUCCCACAUUGCGACAUCGGCUGAUCCUACCCAUCCCCGCCACACAGGCACCAGCAGCUCGGCUCUUCGGCGCGCUGAAGAGCCCUCCUGGGAGCACCAGUACGGGGGCGGCCUGGGCGCCAGGAGCAGUCUGGGGCUCAGCUAUGGUGGCAACAGCAGCCCCACACAUCGUUAUGGUCAACGCAGCACAUUGGCGGACAGCAACCUCAGCAGCGGCCUCGGGCCCAGCCAGCCAGCCCUCGCAUCCGCCGGCUUCAGAGGCGCGACACCUAGCGGCCUCAGGGUUUACCAUCCUAACGGUUAUAGCAAUGCUGGCGAGCAUGGCGCUGGCGGCGGCGGCGGGCUUGGAGGCGGAAACGGUCUUGGUAGCGCCGGCGGUACAACUCUGUGCUUCACGUCGAUCGACUCGCCGUCCGGGCCGUACGACCGGCGACAUGUUGUGCUGAGGUCAGCGCAACGGCGCAACACCGAGGCCUCUACGCCCAGCGUACGGCAAUACAGCGACGGGCUGGCGGGCAUGCUAACCAAUGCACAGAUCCAGGAAUGGAUGAGCCAGCACGCAUCGCGGUUGCUGCUGCCCAGGCACAUGCAGGAGAUUGCGGACAUUGUCUUUCGGCCGCCCAGCGCGGUGCCAGAGAAAAAGUGCGUGCGUUCUGGUUUGGUUUUGGCGAGCCGUGGGACGUGGGUUUCCAUUUCAGCAUGCUCUGUCGAGGAGCGCGACUGAGUCACACUUCUGCAGCACGGGAACGUGGUCCUGGGCCGCCGCGCUGUGCUGCCUGUUGCGCCGUGUGGAUCGCGAAAGCCGGCUCUUGCAUUCUGGUCGUUGCAUGUUGUCCUCCCGUCCCUGUCGGGGAACAGGACACCCCCUUCUCAUUCCGCCUCCCGACUAGUUUUGACCCGACGUAACGGGGCCCAUUGCAAAGGCAUACCCGACACCGACCAUACUUAAGCCAGGCCCCGAGGCUAUUCCUGCUGUGCCUUCGCUAGGGACAUUUGCCGGUUCGUUAGACUACGCCAACUCGCAUCACAUCACGUAGUCUUACCGCAACCCUUCCCAUUACCGGAACUUCCUCGCGACGGCCUAUCCGGUCCCCCCCUAUCCGCUUCACUCGUUCAUGGUUCGUCUUCCCCCUUAUCCGUUCCCCAGGCCGCUUAAGCACCAACCCAGUGGCGUCACCACGUUGCCACCGCCGGUGGUGCUGGGCGGUCGCUACCCUCCUCUUCACGUGAGCCGCCUAGCCAAUGACGCGGCCUUUAUAUCGGGGCUCCUGGCUUGCCUCAGCGGCGUGGACCCCGCCAACAGCCGGGUACAGGCAGUGAUUACAGCGCUUCAGGGCAAGGACGUGGUGGUUAUGGAGGAGGCUGAGGGAGGCGAGGGCGAAACGGCUGGGAGAUUUACGCUCACUAAGAGCCUCCGGCCGCCUUCACGAAUCCAGCCCAAGUAAGCUGGUGCGCGCGGGGAACUACGCUUCCCUGCGGUGCCCUGCGCGUACAGCGUGUACCAGUAUUUCAUACGAGGCCAUAUGCCGACAUACUUUACCCGGCGCAGUAUGGAGCUAUGAUCAGCGCAUGUGUGCUGCGUCCGUUGUGUCGGGCGCUGGUGCAUUUUUUGACUUCCGGAGCAUUUAUUCAUGCGACAGCAGCAGUAGGCUGGGUCGUGCGGGCUCCGGGGUGUGUGAGCCGCAUACGCCAUUGCACCGGCUGCGUGAUGGGGACUGCAUCGCUGGUGGGCUGUGUUUCGACUACGGGGUUGUCGCCGCGUUGGCCAAAUCGACACAAUGAACAGUUUGGCCAAUUGAAGGAGCAGACAUGCGGCAAAGCGUUAAUAGGAAAUCAUUGAUGCUGGCGCCACUGUCCGCCGGCUUUGCGCAUGGCGUGCUUAUGUCAUUACGAGGUAUGAAUGCCUGUAGUGCGAGAGAUGAUGCUGGGAAGGCGGCCAACAGGCCGGAUGGGGACGGGGAGCAGCAUAUUUGUGGAUGCACGAAUCGGGAGGCAGGUCGGUUUCUAGCCAAGAGAAAAAGCUAAAAACCGGUUCCGCGGGCAUCGGAAUGCAUUCUCCUGGAAGUCGUGGAGUAAGUCGUUGACCUGUAGCUUUUUUAAGGUGACUUUGCGUGGGAUUAGUGGGAUGGCAGUGAGUGGGCUGCCGUGCCCAGGUGCACGUGCGGCCCAUACGGGCGGUCGGCUGUGCGAAAUAAGUUACGGCUUGAGUUGCGGGCGUCUCAUGUGUACCUACCUGCACAUGAGCUCUCGCGAGGGAGGCGGGUUGGACCUUGCGCAUGAAUGCGAUCUGGUUGUGAAUGGCAGGGGUAGCUUGUUGCGUCUUGCAUGCUGGCGCUGGAACACUGUCGCAGCGAAUGAGCUAACGUAGCGGUCGAGUGUUUGUUCAUCUUGACCUAAUUAAGGUCCUUCCGGAAAUCUCUGCUUGCAGCUUAGGAUUGCGCUGUGUACGGGUCUCCCCCCAUAGCAGGUUUUGCACGUGGAGGACGCCUCGUAGGAAUAGUGCGAUAGAUGCGAUCGGCUUUGGAACUUCAAAGACCGGUACAUAAUUAUGUUCUAAGGUUGUCCAAGUUAUGGCAUACGGCAGCGGCCUCAGGGUGCGGUGUAGAACUCUUCAGCGUCAUUUCUUCUGGAAGGCGAACGGCCUUCCCCAGUCGCUUCCCCCCGAGAGAAGCUGGUGUCACUUAGCAAAGAUGUGAAGGGUGGUAGACAAGGAGUGAACAAGCGGUGGGGUACGACAUACGCGACCUCAGUGCGGUGUGACACUCCGGGCAUAGGCCGACGGCUUCAGGGACAGGGUGGAGGGCGGUCCGAUCGUACAGCGCAUGCGCACUCGUUACCAUGAUCAUGUUCGUCUUCGACUUCAUUUUGCAUUGUCUUUGGAUGGUCAUCUCGUGUACACUUGUCAUAUCAGGGUAUCCCCGCAAGCCUAGAUGGAACCCCUCCCCCAACGAAACACGCGCGGCAAAAUGCCGCAGGACUCUCGACCGAAUUUAGAAACGCGGACAAAUUCCUCUUAAUCGUCCAAACAACAUUUAAUAUCAAUUUGCCAUGAGUCCGCAUUGAAUAUGUGACCUAUCCUGUGAAAGACACAUAUCUGCCGAGGCAGUGCCCAAGGGCAUCCCCCUUUCCACAAGUGUAACUAAAAGUUUUGUCGCGAGGCAUGCAACUCGACAUCCCCGAACUCACGUCCAUCUGUGGGAAUAUGUGUACAUCGUUGCGGAGAUGCUCGUCAGCUGCGUCGAAGCACAUGCCGAAAAGCCACGCAUGCAAAUAUGGGAAGCGGCCGUGUCCGCGGUCACAACCGAGCCAGUACAAGUUUAUCAAGUCUUAUAGCAUCACCCAAGUUCUCGCUAGUCAAACCGCAGUCACAAUAAGCUUCGAGCAACCAUUCCAAUGUGCGCGUCAGUUUGCGCCCAUGAGCGCACAUCCAGUUUCCAAAGCUCCAUGCUGCCCUGAAUCCCCUACACGCUGCACCCCAACACUACCAGUAGCGCGACCCAUGAAGAAGCCCGCAUACGACGGUGCUGCAGAAUGCCCAUACACUGGCUUUCGAAAGGGAUGCAUGCGACAGGUCCACAUCUGUCACUCGCCGCACUGGCGCCAUCAUUGCGUUUCCUUUCCAGGGUAGGCCUGGUGGUGGUUGUGGUGGUUGCUGUAGCUUUGAUCGUUCUGAUUGUGGUGCUGGUGCCUCUGGAGCUGCUGCUGCUGCAGAGUUUUCUGGCCGCGGGCAGCAAUGGCGGCCUUGGAGGGGCGCCUGCCCUUACGUUGCGCUGGUUUGCGUUGGAAAAGAAAGGCCAGGCCCGCUGCCACUGCACCUAGGAUGGGCGCGCUCCAAAACACCAGGUAAUGUUCCAGGUCGUUUUGUCGCUUGUAAUGAAGGUGCCAGGAAAAGCUCUGGGAGGUAGGGCGCAUUGUACCGGGACACGGGGAAGGCGUUAGCGAAUCAAGCACCCCGAUGUUAAAUUGGCAGAUCAACAUGUCACCUACUUGUUGCCGGGCUGGGAAUUCAUCAUGACAGCAGGCAGCGCGCAACCGCGUAUGCCGGAUGAGGGCGAUAUGAGAACGACUAAACUGCUUGGCACUCCGGAUGCGCGUUUCUUGCAGCGGCGGCUAUGUCAGCUCUGGCACGCAGCCUCUACGUUACCCUGACAGCUGUACUCGUACUCACCACAAAAGGGUUCAGAGAGGGUCCCGUAAAGUAAUAGCCAAUCCAACUCUGGUCAAGGGCACGUAAUAGGGCAGAAAGGGGCCAGUACGUGCCUUCACUUUCAGUACUUCAGGACAGCGCGAGCCUCAUAGCAAGUACGGCCAUAUGGUUAGGGGCCCUCGCUUGCCAGGUAAGGGUAACAAUAUGGGACCAUGCCUCUUGGAGCGAAAGGUGCUCCCCAUUUGCAGAAGACACUUCGAACCCACACAUGCAUGGGCCAAGGGCAAAAAAAGCUAUAGAACUGUAUAGCAAGCAGCGAUGUGAACCCAGAAACGAAAGGAAAGCCCCAACUUAAGACUACUAUGCAGCUUUCCAUUGGUUCCGGGAUUGACAGCCGUACCAGGGUGACAGUGGACAGCAUGGGAGUCCACAACGUCAGCAAACGACUGUCCGCCUCUGCAGUCAGGAACGCACAGCCCAGGAGAUGGGUUAAACUCGCUUGCAAAAGACCCCGUCACACCGGGAUCAUCAUACCGUGUGGAAGGUUUGCAACUCUGCAUGCAACAAUGAGGUCAUCAAUCUCGUGUGGCUUACAAUGGCAGCAAUUCGCAUCAGCUAUGCAAAACCUGGGCUACGUAGGUAGCUCCGUCCCGUGUAUUUAAUUGAUUUGAAGACUUUUCGGCCUCUCUCUCCCUUUUUCUCUCACUUCUCCUUGAUCAGUCGGCACAAGCACAGAGAACGAAGCUGGCCCGAGCAAUUGCCGAGAGCACGCUAGCUUUUUGGAGCUCCAUGCAGGUGCCUAUCUCGCUUCGUUCAUUCACAUUCACCCAGACCAGCAUAUUCAUCUGCCUUGACCUUAUUUCGGGUCAUGUCGAUAGAGAAGUUCAUAGCUUAGAGACCCGGCACUCGUCGAGAACCCGUGGCUCACCUUGCGAUAACAAAAAGACAUAGUUCAGCACAAAGCUCAUGGUGCCUUCGCAGGCAAACCCGAUCUCAAACGCGACGCCAUCCUUGAUGCCCCCGGACAAAGUGUGAAACUUCCUGCCCGUGCAAAGGAGAGCGCAACCAGGGAAAAUUGGGGCGGGUCACACACGGGGUGGUCCUAUGUACUUCUGAGAAUUGGGAUGCUGGAGUGGUGCCAAGGUAAUGGGGCGCCGUUAUCUUUAUAUAUCAUAUCAACCAGCCAAUUAUCACCUGCUGUUAAGGUUGUCCCGCGUGAAAGGAAGGCUAGAAGCUUCAUCCCAACUGCAAGUAAUUAUUCUCCGCAAUAGCACGCACACUAGGGACUCAGGAUAUGCAGCAAGCUGCGCGGGCCGCGUUCCACGCCAAGGUGCUUGCGCAGGUUCCACCUUGCAAGUUGCUGCCCGUGCUGAGCCCCUUUGUCGCUUCUCCCAUUGAGUCUGUGUCUCACCCCUGGAGCCAAUCGGGUAAGUAUGUCUUAGCCGCCAAGCUGCCAGCAAGUGCACCUGCCAGCUGUGCCCCCUGCAUCACGAUUGCGGGGAUACGUUGCGGUGAACAACGUAAGGGUGCUUUGUAAAGGCGCACUAAAAGUAAUUCGGCCGGUGGCAUGGGGGUUACGCAAACGUAGGCUCUGCAUAUCGCCCAUUCCAUGAUUGAAAUACGCCGAAGUAUCGCAGGAUUAGGUUUUGUAAGGGACGUAGAAGCUCACCAUGCGCAACAGGUGACCAGCUAUGCUACCCUUUCCGCUACUCAUAAGGGCAACGCAGUGGAUCGGGUUGAACAGCGCGCCUCCGAAGGACUCGCACAGUGGACCGAAGAGGGUGAGGGUCGUAACCAGGACUCCAAUACCAAGCACCAGUUCAUCCAUGCCAGUGUACUUGGCCAGGUAUCCAGAUGCCUGGAGCAGCGCAUGAGCGCGAGGCAUCCGAAGAACGAGGGGAGGAAGGCAGGACGCGGAGACUGUUUCGCGGAGUACCAGGGUCUUUUGCUUGUGGCCAAAGGCAGCGAUGCAUGUCAAGCAACCCAACCACCGGCAAAUGCACAGACCACGUCUCAAUGCACAAGCGCGCGAGGAGCUAGGGGUGGAGAGGGAGGGAAAGUGCGUGGACGGACAUACCUCAGCGAAGCAACUCGACGCCAUGACCCACAACGCCGUGACCAUGAAGUCGCCAAAUACGAGCACCGGCAGACUCCGUUUGCGCGUAUCAUUCUCCUCCGGAAGACCCGCGGCGGCCAUGGUUCUAACUUGUUCGCAGCAGCAAGCCUAGAUCUGGGGCAAGUUACGCUGUGGGAAGGCGCUUCACAGACUGCAAGUAGAGAUAGCUCGCAUUCUCAGAGGGCUGAGUUCCACCGAGGACCGUUGUGGAGUUAUCGGCUGGGCUCCGGUUAGACCCUCAUAGACUGUCGACUCUUACUUAACUGUCAGAAGCAUACCACCCAUCAAACAUCCUAAUUAGUAUGAAUGUUGUUUGAAGGGGGCUUCAGUUGUUGCCGUACUCCGGCAUAUUGUAUUCUCUGUCCAAACCGAUGCAGCGUUGAGCAUGGUUAGGGACCCACUUAAUAACAGGCAAUUUAGUUACUUAACGACCGUCGGUAGCAGUUAUUAGCCUGCCAUAUAUUCCGUCUAAAGGCGAAGGCGAGGGUCUUCGAACCAUGGAGCCCAUGAGCCCAUUAGGAAAGAUGACAGUUGUAGAACUCAAGGCAGAGCUUAAGGCGCGAGGCCUGAGUGAAAAGGUGUGUUCUGACCGUUUCUUUGGUCCAGCCAGUUUCCCAUCUUGACCAGGGCACCACUGCUAUUCACUUAGGGUGUCAAAGCGGAGCUUGUGGCUCGGCUUCAAGAAGCUCUUAGCGCCACGGAACAAGAAGCUUCACCGGCGGCGGCGGACCCUGUGGCGGAGGGCGGUCAGCCAGAUCCGGCGCCGACCGAAUUACAGCCGGAGGCCGCGGGCGCAUUUGCAGCCGAACCUAUGGAUGCCGAAGCGAAUGCCGCGAAUCAGUUAGCACCAGAUGCAGCAGACGUGAAGGAGGAACCACUGGAAGAAGAGGUGCGAAAAAGGACACGCAUGAGCAAAGCUGCACAUGUUAGCGCGUUUUUAUCUUUCGGCACGUUCCUACAGGCUGCUGCAGUGGCAGCGGCUGCUGCGGGGGUAGAAGCGGACGCGGUUGCCGAGCCUACGGUGAUGGGGCAACCGACUGACCUCGAGCAGCCCGAGACGGAGGUGACUAAUGAGGAAACGACAGAGAAAGAGAUGGUGGAGCCCUCGGGCGACAAUGUAAUUGAAAAGCAAAAGUCGCCGGAGCCAGCUAAGCAGCCAGAUUACGGGCCCGAGGAGUGGGAAACUAUGGACAUCCCCGAUGAGUAUCGGCCUUUGCCUGUCUUACGUGUAAGUUUUUAUUUAGGUGCAGCAAUAAUGGAAAGUAUAGAUCUCGUUUAUGCUGAGGGUUUGCGUGAACCUGCAGGUGCGUAAUAUUAAGCAAGAAGCAAAGCCUGAAGACGUCAAGAAGGCUUUUGAGGACGCUGGUGUUCCUGUCCAUAGCGUGGAUUUCGAUAACGUUGAGCGCAACCGGCAUGUGGCUCUGCUCCGGCUGGCUCCUCCUCCGCUGCCCUGGAAACUUAGCAAGGAGGAGCUGGAAAAGAACCCGCUUGACGAGGCGUUGAAGAAGUACAUUGAGCGCAAAGAGAAGGAGGCACAGGAGGCUAAGGCAGCCGCCGAAGCGCAGAAAGCAGCGGAGGCGGCCGCGGCGGAGGCAGCUGCCAGGGAGGCAGCUGCUGGGGAAUCGGCUGCCGGUGAGCAGGCGACGGAUUCAGCAGCAGCGGAGGCGCAAGGUUUGGGAGCUGUGCCGGAAGGCGACAGCCCCGCGACAGCCGAUGCUACUGCGGGCUCUGCGGAAAUGUUCAAGGAGGCAGCAACAGAGUCGGAAGCAGCUGGUCCAGCAGAAGUCGUCAAGGCUGACGUCCCUGAAGGCAAUGUCCAUAAGCCAGAAGUCGCCAUCUCAUCGGAAGACGUCAGUCAGGCUCUUGCUGCAGGGGUAGAGGGAGGCGCCGCGCCUGCGGAGGGUGAUGGCGAGAAUCCCGCGGCCGAGGAUGCGAAGCCCGUGGAGGCGGACAAGGAGCCUGCAGUUGCCAGCGGUGACAGCAAGUCGGCAGCGCAAGCGCCGUCACACCCUGUGACCACGUCGCACCCACCCGUGGUACUUCACGUCGAUGACGGGCGAUCGGAUGGCGACGUGCUUAAAGUUGCUCGCUACACCGCCAUGCGCCUUAAUGCAUUGUCCUACCCAUUGACGCUUUUCGGUGACCGCCUCAUGGUUGAUGCGCCGACGCUCCAGUGCACCUUGUUCCUGGGGAACGUAACACAGGACAGCGACGAGCAGCUUAAGGCUGACAUGGCGGCGCUAGGUCGCGUCAUUCGCUGCUUCAUCAUGCGCGACGCUUCUAGGGUUUCGAAGGUGGGUGGGCGCGUGUAACGUGCGCAGGCAGCUGAAGCAUGCCCAGAGGUGGCUCACGUUGGGACUCGUUAUAGCGCGGCCCGUUUUUCUUCACUAGGAAUUCCUGAGCACUCAAGCCCUUGCACUUGGCUAAGAUCGAUUUUACUGACCUUCGGUUUAAUCUUGGCCGUGGAAGUUUUGCUACCGUGCUCGUAGCUAGCGUAGGCUGAGUGGUGUAAAGUAAUGACGGUGUUGGCUCCGGCCGGAAAUCUCAUGUAAACAGCUUUCCAGUCUGUUUGCCACUCCAUUUACGUUGUGCUUUCGGUUUGCUAACUAAACUCCUAACUUCUUGUUUUAUUUUCAUGUAGGGGUACGCAUAUGUUGAGUACGCCACUCCUGCGGAGGCGCUCAAGGCCAAGGAGUCACUGGAGGCGCAAAGCCGCAAGGCCUUCCAGGACAUGAUGGCAACAAAGAAUGAUCUCCAGCGCCAGCGGGGGCGCUCAGCGAGCAGUACACCGAAACCGGCACCUACAACACCCGUCGAGGAGGUUAAUACGGAGGCGAAGGGUGAGAAGAGCGGGGAGGCGCCGGCAAGCAGUGAGCAAGGGAUGGGUGAGAAGCUCGAGGAUGGAAUGGCCGAGGAGAGGGAGAAGGCUGAAGGCGACAAGCCACAAGGUGAAAACACGCCUGAAGCAACCGAUGUCCCUGUUAAGGACGAGCCGGACACGGAGAUGAAAGACCAAGGCACUGCUCCCACAGCUGAGCUUGCGGAAGGGCAACUUAAGGAUGAGAGCGCGCCUGAGUUAAAAGCGGAAGAAGGGGCGGAAAGCGUGGAGACUGGCGUUCCAGCUGGGGAACAGCAGCAACCGAAAGCUGAAGAGAAGGUUGAAGAGGGCGACGGCAAGGACACGCCGUUGAAGCACCCAUCUCACGCAAGCAAGAUCAUGCGGGCAGAGCUGACCAACAUCAGGCGCGUCCAGGACCUAUUUUCGCGGAAUUUGUACCUGGCCAGUUUGCCCAUGGUGAGCGCGGUGAAAGGAUUGAAUACCGUUUUACAGGCAUUGCCCCACCGGUACAUAUUAGCACCGGCUUGCAGUUUCACACCUUGUCAAACAUGGUUUACAUGUUGGCCAGUUAUGGCGAUUAUUGAUGCUGCUCUAACACAGCUUGCUGUUCCGUAUGCAUGCAUUAAUCAAUUGUAUCAGCGUGUCAUCAUGUCAUGAUGUAUUAUUCGGCUUGUCUUGGGCUUUGUCCUGAUGCACAGUCCUUCAGCGACGAGGACCAGCUUCGCAAGGUGUUUGGCGAGUUCGGCCCUGUAGUGUCGGCGUCAAUCACCCGGGGACCGCAAGGCUACUCCAAGGGCUUCGGUUUCAUCGAGUUCCUGCGCCCGGACCAUGCUGCUGCGUAAGUUCGUUACUUUGCAUGUGGCUUUCGCUUACAGCUUUGCCAGCCCGCCUUUCCGCUUUUAUCAUAACUCGUUUUAUUCUCACAUGUCCUGUCCACACCUGUCACUAUCAUCAUGCAGCGCGAUGGCGGCCCUGGACGGCAAGGAGGUGCCAACACUUGGGAAGCUGGCUAUUUCGUUCGUCAACCCUUCGAAGCAGACGGACCGCAGGGGUGGUCCCCAAGGUCCCGGAGGCCGAGGCGGACCACAUGUCACGGGUGGUCGGUACGGGUCUAGUGGUGGGCCAGGGCGAGGUGGAAUGAUGACGCCUGGCUUCCGCGGUGGUCCUCACAGCGCACGCAAUGCACCGUACUUCGCGGGGCCAGGGCGGGGUGGUUACAUUCCACCACCACCGCCUCCCUACGGCAUGAGUCCAAUGUCGCGCGGGGGUCCUGGAUCCUACGGUGGCCACGGUCGUGGCGGCAUGAUGGGCCCUGGUCGUGGUUACGGCGGUGGUUAUGGAAUGGGGGGAAUGGGGAUGGGCAUGGGUGGUGGGUAUGGCGGUUACGGUGGUGGGAUGAUGGGUCGUGGCGGGCAGGGUGCAGGCGGUUAUGGUGGAGGGUAUGGCGGUGGCUACGGUGGUUAUGGGGGCUAUGGGGGCUCUCGCGGUGGGCAUCAGCAUUCUCCACAGGGCCCUCGUUCUGGGUACGGUGCUGGUGGCGCGUCAGGAGGAACCAGCACCGAUCCCGCUUCGCCGGGUUAUGGUGGUUCUGGGUACGGCGCCAGUGGUGCGGCGCAGCAGCAACAGGCGGUGACUUCUACAACUGGUGCGGCGACCAGUUAUCAGGGUGGUGCGUACAGUGCGGGACAGGGUAGCGGGGCUUACGGGGCUCAAGCCUCCCAGUCGCAAUACGGUAAUCAAGGCACCGGAUACAGCAGCCAGACCAGCUACGGUAGCCAGGGCACUGGUUACGGGAACCAAACGGGGUAUAGCAGCCAGACCUCAGGUUAUGGUAGCCAGGCCAAUGCUUAUGGCGGCCAGCAGCAGGCCCAAGGAACCACUGGCUAUGGUAGUCAGCAGCAGCAACAAUCAAGUUACGGCAACCAACAAGCGGCUGCAGGCACCUACCCCACGUCGUAUUCCGCGCCUGCACAGGUGAGGUUUGAGUUGAGGUUUGCAUUAUAUGCGAUUGCGAAGCUAUUUCCGAGUGGUUUCCCCGUAUUUGUGAUGCUUUAUGCGUACUCAUAUGAGCAUGUCGUACACUAACUAGGUACCUACUUGCCCAUGGCGCCUAUCCUCAUGUUCAGACUUACGGUGCGAAUGGCUACGCUGGGGCUAGUGCCACUCAAGCUCCCGCAUCUUCGUACACCACAACCUCAUCAACACCGGGUUAUGGAGCGCAACAGCCAACAACGGCGUACGGUGCCCAGCAAGCGCAAGGAACAACUAGCGUGUAUCCGACUGCUUACGCUUCUGCUGGACAGGUAGGACUUUUGGCGCCGAGUUGCUUGACCCUCUGUCUCUACGGCUGUUUGGGUAAUAUGAUGAGGAGGGAUUCCAUAAGGCAGAAUCAACCGCCUUGGACUGCAGUUCUUAUGGCGUGGUACAGUGUGGUAAUGGUGGAUGGUGUUGUAUGGUUCAAUUCUAGAUACGCCAAUUCGAAUGUGUUCAAUUGGCACAGAAGCCUCCCACUCUGUAACAACAACAGCCAGUGGCGCGAUAGCUUUUAAAGGGAUCUAAAGCCAGGAUUUGCAAAUGAUUUACAGGCCUACGGUGCUGCGGGUGCUGCCGGACAGCAGGCGGGCUACGGUGCAACUACGCAAGCAGUCUCAGGUUAUGGUCAGGCAGCACAGCAGCAGGCGGGCGGUUACAGUGCGGCUACUGCCUACGGUGCUUCAGCUGGCACCUCUUACGCAGGCUAUGGCCAAGCAACGGUGAGAAUUAGGCCAUGUUGCAUACCAGUUAUGUGUGUCAUGCUCUUGCGCAUACAGGUGCAAUUGGCCGCAGUUAUGCAUUCAAUGUUUUGGUAUGUUACCAGAGUGUUGUGCAUUGGCGGUCGCAGGGGUAUGGAGCGUCCAGUCAGCAGGCUACCGGGGCCUACGGUGCAGCUGGGGCUGCUUACGGACAGCAGCAGCAGGCCCAGCAGGCGUAUGGAGUUUAUGGGCAGCAGGCAGGCGCCUAUCCAGCCCAGGCAUAUGGACAGCAACAACAGGUCGGCCAGAAACGUGACGGCGAUACAUACGCGGCCUACAGUGCAGGUUAUGGUGCGGACUACAACAAGCGGCCGCGCUACUGAAUGAGGCGCUAGUGCUAUCACUGUCCCCACCAUCCACCUCGGCAUGCGGCCCUUGUGGGACCAAUGUUACCUAACCAAAACUACUAUUACCCGUAGUUGGUCGAGUAUUUGCAUGCUUAAGUACAGCAGGCGUGUCUCAGAAUGUUUGUCCUAAGGGUUGAACAAGUUGCAGCAUGAAGGAUAAUGCCCUCCCUCGUCGGUGUGUGGGUCGCUGGCGAUAAGUGCGGCCCUGUUCGCGAGCACGCUCCCCCAGAUGAAUCUGUAUAGGUCUUGCGAGCUUCCGCAUCAGGGAUGAGGGAGGGGUUUCUGAGCGAGAGUGGAUCUGCCAAGGGUUUAAAGUUGGCAUUGCACGCGCAAGCUUCUGUCUGUUCGCUACAAUCUAAGACAAUUUUUUGGGUUUUAGUUUGUGCCGGUCUGGAAUAUGGGCCGCACGCAACUAGAAACGGGGACAACAGCCAUGAUUGGCAAUUUAGAUUGCUCUUGCGGGAGCCCAGAAUGCCCCGCACGCGGGAACGAUUGGAUGAAAUGAGGAAUGGCGUUACCGUUGCAUGCGAAGGUCCGUCUUCAAAAUGUGCUUUGGCAUGAGUUCCCAACUGAAGGGGCAUGACCUUACUCUGCAGCUGGGCGACGCGUAGUUUAUGGAAUGCGCUGUGUUUUGGGUGCGCAUUGCAAAGGGAGACGUCCGGUGAAGCGAAGUCUACAGCAAGCGCGUAGUGCGCAUCAUUACAUUGGUUCGAACAGCAUCGUUUGCCGUCAUACCCAAAGCGACAUUGUGUACAUGCGAGAUGGGGGCAAAGUGGAGUUGCCGCCAGCAGAUGUCGAGAGGUCCCGAUUGCCGGUGUCCUCUUUACUCACCCCGCAUUCCCGCUUACCAUACGUAUAUUUUCUCCCCGACAUGCCCGUGCCGAGGAAUGGAGCAACCUCGGCCGCACAGCGGUGAACCCCUGGAAUCGUCUGGCGGUUCUCAACGGCCGAGCCCUCCUUCAGGUGCAAAGCUUCCAACCUGCGCCCGCAGGGGCCCGCCUGACGCCGGCAGCGGUGCACCAGUAAGACACGGGCUGGGUUCGUGGUAAGAUCGACGGGGGAAACGUUGCAUGACAAACUGAGGGAUUUAUAAUUCUGGCACUUCCAACGGGGGCGCCGUCCGUACCGUAUGUAACAGUCUCCAUACACACGUGCUGUCGAAGCCUGUUUUGGACAUUCAUGGCAGCGUGCGCUGCAGUUGUCACGGAGGCCUGUGCAUAAAGCCCUCCAAGCGGGUUAAGGCGUUGUAAACUUGGACGGAGCAAAGGGUCUGCGUGUCUUCGAGGGGCUAUAACGAAAUUCACCUGUGCGGAGGGUUUCACUCGAAUAUUGCUACGCUGCCAGUGUACGCGGGACGGCGUGAUAUUCUCGGUCGAUUAUCCAAGGUUGUUACAAUCUGCCGACUGCAUACUUUGUUUAUACGAUUUAACAACCCAGAUCGCAGGUUUCGGUGAGUUCGGCACUUGAUGUCCACAUGCCGAACGACAACUUCAAGACGUCUAUUGGGCAACUAUUCCACUCCAUCUGUUUUACUUGGCCGGUUACAUUGUUCUUGGAUACAGGUCGUUACUUGUAGUUGGAAGCAAGUAUGUUGUUUCACUCAAACGAUGUAAAGAUAUUUCUUUGCUUGGUGGCCUGUAUUGGUUUAACUAAACUGUAGGUAGGAAAAGUAAUAAGUUGGGUAGUAUGUUACAUGUCUUACGAGGUUUGUACCAUCUUCCAUUUGUGCCCUACCAGUUGAGGUUACGUAAUAAAUCCGGUAAGAGUUUCAGUCUGUAAUGUACGAAAGGUGUUGGUUGUUUUUCAUUGUUAGAAACAAAGCGAGUACACGUGUAGCGUCAUGCGAUUACACGAUUCUGAAACCAAUUUCGUUUGGGAAAAAUGUCAAAUAAUGUCGUACACAACCAUUCCAUUAAGUUCAUUCCAAAUGACGCAUCAUAUCAUUCCUCCUAAAAUCUGCCAUCGUUAUUAUUACCACCACCCCAUCACCACCCCGUUACCCCAUCACGCUAGUACGUCUUAGGCAUACUUGCUAUCCCCGAUGAUAUGCCCGCCGAAGAAUGGCGCCACCUCAAAGAUCAACUGCUGAUACUCAACCGGUGCACCGUCCUCCAAAUGCACCUUGACCAGCUCGCCGGCAAUCGGCGCCUGCAAGUGCAUAAAACGUAGUUAAUCAACAAAUGUAUCAUAUUGAAACACAUGAUGUCGUCGUCGUGCACAGAGCGACGUGCCACGUUGCAAAAAAUGACGUCUAUAACGUUGUUAUAUAGAGUUGACAACUCACCUUAACUUCCACGAAAGUGCCCAGCUGCUCCACGUACCCAAGUGUCUGACCCUUCUUAACUGGCGCGUUCUGCGAUCACGCAACACAAUUGUUGCGCAUACAUUUCGAAACACGGUUAACACGACGGCUGGGGAAUGAAAACCGGUCCUCAUGCAGCCUACGUUAAUCCCUAUACGCCCUCAAAUGCAUACCUCCUGUGUUCCCCUGCUCCGUUCAGCGCCCCGCACCUCCCACAAUAAUUUAUGCUUACUCUUCAGCCCAGCUUUGUUUCAUGAGAAUAAAGCACUGCACCUAUCGAAAGUAGCUGUAGGUAGCUUAUUCAAUGCCAGCGGCUUGGCUUCAACAGUCUAUCGUCCUUUGGUACAUCAGGAAAACGCGCGGGGAUCACACCCCCAAAGCAACGUGCAAGUAGGCAAAGGGUCUUACAACGGCAGCCGUGCCAAGGCAAGUGGAGGUAGCGUGUAGCCGCGACACCGGGGAACCGUGUUCUACUUACCACAUCGGCACAGUUGCCCUUGCCCACACGCUUGCCGCCUGCAUACUUUCCACGCCGGAACGUGCCAACCUGCGCGGCAUAUUCUUGGAUAUCAUCAUAGUGUCGACACUAACAACUACGUCUAAACUUUGACCUUCCCUCUUCGUUCCCGAAACCACCUGCAAACCCUAACACCCUAUCGUAUGUCAUUUCCUCCAGUGCAUGGCAAGGAACCCCUGCAAGUUUUCAUUCGCAUGUAGUCGUUAUAUGAAGUGUAUGGGAUUGCUUCAGGCAUUACACCUGGGUACAAGGGCACUGGCGUGCGCUGAUAAGUUAUAUUGCAACUUAUGGACAUCUCUGGUCCCCAAAGGAGAGGCCCAACGCAAUACCAAUGCCAGAAACAUGCAGAAACGUUGCUCAGCAUUUGGGCACACGGAGUUAAAGAGCUAGAUGCAAAAAAAAUCAUGUAGCCAAGGCGAGCACCAGGCAACCAAGUGCAGCUGAGUGGUGCCAAGGCUGAGGAGUGGAAGCUAACUAUCAAGGUACCAUAUUAGAGCCGACUCCUUGCCUUCUGCAGGACAGAAUCAUUCAAGAACAAUUUCACCCUCCGCACGUACCUUCGGUGAGGUAACAUACACCAAGCUCUCGUCCACGGUGUCCUCCACGCUGGCAGGUGGGGGCGCCUCAACGGACUGUAGCGGGCUCGACGCAACCACGGGCUCCGCGGGCGUUGCAGGGGCCACAGUAGAGGCGUACAAGGGAGCUGCAGCAGCACUCCCAGCGACGCUGCGCUUGACUUUCAGCUCAAAAUUACCCAUCUGCAGUUAUAUGGUUGACGUCAAAAUCCAACAUUCGAUCAACGUCUGCUGCGCUAUUUUUUAAGGAUUGUGCUGACACUGCAAUGACCUCGCUGGACUCGACUCGUCGCACCUUCAGGUGCAUCUCAGCGAUUUCCGUCUCGUUGCACAACGUAUUGAGGAAGGAAGCCACCUGCGAUCCAAUUCAAGAACUCAGAAACAGAAGUUCACCUAUUAGCCGGCGCUCGAGCUUACCUGCUGGGUGCUGGGGGCAAUAUCGGGUCCAUUGUACUCGUCUUCCACUGAAGCAUAUGUCAAAAGCGAGGAGGAAGCUAGUUGCAGGAUGCUUUUCAUCCAUUUGCUUGCACAAAGCGCAAGCAAUCGUACCCGACACGUCGACCUCCUUUUUGGCCUCUGUUGCCGCUGCCUUCAAGAUUGGCAGACGUGUAGUGAUAGUGGUUCGCACAGCGCGAACAGACCUGGACGCGGCAACGCCAGCAGGCCGCUGCGGCGCACUAGAGCGUGUGAGCAUUUUGGACAGGAAAGCCUACGUUGACGAUCAAGAACUCUGCAGCAAUUGUCGUGCAAUUCAACGUCUUGAUAAAAGUUACGGUGUAUUCGCGCAGUCAUAAGUACGCAGGCGUUACGUUCACAACGCACAUUGCCGUACUUGUGCGCUCUCACAUGGCCAACGCUAGAAGUAAGCCACCAAACCAUCAAUCUGGCUGGUCUUCGGUUUUUGCAUUACAGAUUGGUCCAUCUGAGCAAGGACAUUAUUAAGUGGAAAUAUUCAGUUGUAAGGGCAAAAGAUGCAAGAAUUGUGUUUAACCAUAUGUCAUAGAUAUCAAAUCGAUAAUGAGGGGUAUUAAAUUGGUUGAUAUUCACAGUCAUGAUGGCCGAGUGUGGACCUAGCGGCUCAGCAGGCGUGUGGCAUUAUUAUGCGGCUGUAGGCAACAGAGGGGCCAAGUUGGUGGGUGGAUUGCUGUUGCCAUGUUCCAGAGGCAUUUCGGUGUUGGGAAACCCAAAGAUGUAUCGCUGCUGCUCUAUAUAGAGUUGACACUUGUCCUGCUGCGGUCCGACCGGAGUGAUAUGAUGCGAAACAGGGCUGAAACCUCCACUUUGUAUUAGCUCCGGAGCACGCGUCAUGUAAAGGCGUUCUUAUGCAAGGCAUCCCUUUUACCCCCAAAUGACCUGGUCUUUUCACGAACAAUGCCACGUACAUCCAGCAAACUUCGCGUACGCACGCUCAGGCAUAGCUGCUACUCCUUUCCAACCCCCCUUACGAUUGCCUCCUACACCAUCACCGCUUACCAUCAAUAAUAACAAUCGAAUGUGAUGUGUCUGACGCGGUGGUUGCUACCCCAACUGACAGACAACCUUAGUGGAGCUCCUUCAAGCGCUUCCGGCCGCAUGCAGGCGACCGCUGGCCAUAUGCUGCAGGUGCGCAUGACAAAAGCCUGUGGCACGGUGAGCGGUUCCCUCCUGCUUACCUCCUUGUUGACAGCUACCUAUUUGGGCCAUUCAACCUGAUGUAACUGUAAGUGUCGAGCGGUCGUAAAACCGCUAUCGCCUCCACUGUUGCCGGUCCCCCACAGCGCCAGGGACAGCCUGGACAACCUGGUGUAUUGGCUGCUGCGGAGCCGGUCCUUCGCCGUCACUGCAAUUGUGAGCACCGUAGAGGUCGGGGGGGUGUCUGGUGACGUUGCACUUACCCCUUGGCUUCGUGUCCUUUUAAGAUAGCAGCAACAGCAUUAAGGUGUGUCACGUGUGGUUAAAUGUCCGCAGCUUCACCCUGACUAGAAGUUCGACCUCUCUGGGGCCCGAGGCCAACAGCAGUAGCAGCAGCAGCAGUAGCUGUAGUAGCAGCAGUUGCGUCAAUGAGUUUUUCCCGCCGUGACUACACACGAGUGCACGCAAUCGUGAUGGAAAGGUGCUCCGCUAUGCUCGAUACCUGCCGGGCUAUCAUCCCCACCCUCCGGUGCCAUCUUUGGCGGCACUGGCCCAAGCAUACUGGGCCCCAGCCUGACCGCGCCGCACCCGCACCGACCCACCACACGCAGCACAGCGAUCUGACGGAUAAGGAGAGGGAACUGGCACUGGCGAGCUUCAAGCGCGGGCUGGCUGUCGGAACGGCGGGGAACUUGGGGGUCGGUGGUGUGGCAGCGGCCGAGUUAGCUGGUGGGUGUGCAGGCGGCGGUUGUGACGGCGGAGAGAUAACCAGCCUCGUUGCAAGUUCGUCGUUUAGACGGCCGCGCCGCCUUUUCUUUACUUUUCAAUGCAUGGCAUAGCCGAAUCAUGCACGGGCAUUCUCACGGCAGCAACGAACGGGCGCAACUGCAACUGCGCAGGUGGCCGACCCUGGCCUUCUCAACACCGCCGCGCCUUCGGAAGUUACCUUACUGUGGUUCCUUAAUUCGUCUUAUGCAAAUUACAAUCAUUACUGAUGUCCCGGGCCAACCUUGUUACCCACCUAUCCAUUAAGGCAUGUGUUGAUCCGUUAUGGCCUGGAUCAGCGCACCUAAUUUGCAAAGAUUUUAUCCAUAUCGUUGUACGACACGGUAUCGUAUGAUGGUUCUGCUUCGGAAUGGGGUAGGGGGGCGUUUGGACCGGUACGACGCAGGGGGUAGCGGUGGCGGCCGGGAGCGCGCCGGCCUCGUGGAUGGCGCGGGAUCAAGCAGCGGUGGCGGCUGGGCAGGACCCGGACCGGGACCGGGGCUCGGGCCUGGCCAACAGGGGCCCCCGGGGGAGGCCCUGGUGAGCGUGCUGGCGGUGACGGACGUGUGUCUCAAGGUAGGUCGGGCGCGGUCCAGGUGGGGUUGAAUGGCGGUGAGCUGUGGUGCGUUAGAGGUCUCAGCGCCACGAAGCGCGAACUGCCGAGGACGUGGGGAUGGCCGCCGCUGUUGCCUCUGCUCACCGACCCCUGCUGUUACAUCGGAUAGGGUUAUUGUCUCGUGGGCUUUACUCGCGGGCUUUAAGGAAGGUGCUGCUUCUUCCGGCGUGGCCAACAGCUGCUCAACGCGGCGAAGCCUCGCAAUACAGACCGCCGGUACCGCGGAAAAUGUGCCGCUGUAGCUGACUGCCGCUGUUCCCGUUGUGUCACUGCGACCGCCUGUCCCAGCAGGCGCUGCCUAAGGAGCUCCUUCCCCUGGGGGUCAGCCUGCUGGUGGAGUUUGACCUGCCUCCAUCAAAGGUUGGUUCGUCAUACGUGCGUGCAUUCACUGUGGGCAGCAUGCAUCUUUUAUUGAUUACGGUGAAAUAUACAAAAAUACAGGCAUGUAUAUCACCUGCCUCUCGCUCCCAUAUCACCUCUUUACCACCACCCACAUGUUACCAUCAACCAUCUCGCGCCAAGUCGUCCCGAACCCCUGGCUGGGGCCCGAUCCCACAGGAGGUUUACUCGCGGCGUGUGUCGGCCCUGUUCGGGAGCGGCAAGGACCGGCGGUCGCAGCGGUGCGUGGUGAUCGACAUGGUGGAGGCGGGGGCCAUUGGGGCGUUCCGAACCCUGGAGGGCUUCGCAGCCAGCCCGGUGAUGGAGAUGCCCGUGCGAGUGGAGGACAUGUUUGUGCAGCAGUAAUCCGGGACUGACUGACUGGGGAGCAGGAGCCUUGAGAAACAGACACACAGAGACGGAUAGAUGCGAGGGCAAAGGGGUUCGGAACUGCGGAUAGCUCCGUGCCGGUGCUGAUUGCGGAUCGACGAACAUGCAGCCGGCGCGCAGACGAUGUACUAAUGUGUGGCCAAGGUAUUGGGCAGGAAGGGUAGGAAGGGUUGGAUGGCGGGUGUGCACGAUUGGACUGCGAUCAACUGUAAGAGAAAGAAGUCUUAGGGACCAGGUCGAUAUUCCUUAAUAAUUUGUUUAACCCACCAACAGUCGAACAGUGUUCAAUCAGUGCUGCGGAGGGGUCUUGGAAUGGAUGGCAGUAGGAGAUAUGUAGAGACCGGCGCUGUAAUAAGUGCUUUCAGCGAAUUGUCAGUUUGAACCCACCGUUGAGAAAUAUUUGCGUGAUGUCGGAGUUUCACACGGGGGGCCCAGGUAUGCGUCGUCCGCUUCGUGUAGUGUGGGGGCCGGUACUGGCUUGCUCCUGUGCCAGUCGGGGCCCUAUGAGGUGGUGGCCUUGCAGCCUUUGCUAGCUGCUUACUGCUGCUGUUGGUUCGGCUGCAUCCCAUUACUUUGUUUUGCUCGACUUAAUCAUCCGGUAUUGAAAGGUAAGGUAGGCCUUUCAGCAGCGGUGUGUGUGAGUAUGCUCCCCAUUAGCUCCACCCUCGCGUCAGGUCGCGUGCUUGGACUAGGCUUUCUAGGCCUUGCUGCAGCAGCGCCCAAACAUCCCAGAGCUCAGUUGCAAAAUACUUGUUGGCGCGAAGGUAAAUUGUUCUUUCGUCCACCAACCCCAUGGCUUCAUAAAUCCUUACUUCUGCCUGAUGAAAGGUCGGCCGCUUGGCAGGGACCAUGCAAAACGUUGAUCAAAGCCAUUCACGACCCCAUCCCCCAAUGAAAUGUUCACUUAACAUGGAGCAGACGCAUGAUCCGUAAGGGAAUGCCUGCCUGGCGUAGGGCCAGCGCAGGGAUGGAGGGCGGCAUGCCUUCCUGUUUAGCCAGUCGUCGAUUACGUGCGGAGGAGUCCCGUACACCAUGAUCUCAAACGAGCAUUCUAUUCUCCCCUAAUAUGACGACGGCGACUGUCCUUUUAACUACCGUACGUAUUGCAAGUGCUGCUCAAUAUGUAUUAGAGUCAAGCGACUACAUAGUGUACACAAUACGCACCUAACACCUGCUAUAACACCGCGCCCUGAAUUGCUCCGAACGAGGAAACCCAAUUACUGAGUCCCCCCACUCCCUAACCCACAUCAAUGCAAAGAGAAGAUGGGUACAGUAACCAAGAACGAAGCCUCUGCCCGUUAUCAAAAGCGGUCCGGCGGCGCACGCGGCCCAGGUGGAAGGUGCACCCGAUGUGAUACUCUGUCAUAGCGUCUCUUUCCCGGCGCCGUGCAGCUUAUCGCAGCCAGACCGUCAUAUGAGCUUAUUGGGCGCCGCCCAAGGCAUUAUGCCGCGCUGUGCCCGCCGUAAUCCUCGGCGGCCGAACACAUAAUGCACAGCACACUAGCUUUAUUUCCUGUGUGUUCAGCUGUGGAAACCUCAGACAGUACGCCAUUGCUUUGCCUACCCACCCACCCAACCCAUAGACACCUAACAAACAAGCAUUGCAAUACCCAGCACACAUACAUACUCACACGAGGCGUAAGCCAGUAGCAGGCAUAUCUGCUAUAUCAUGCCAGCCCCCGAAACGCCGCCCUUCAUCCCCCGCCCUUCCAUCACGAGGCUCUGGCCAUUGCGCCCCACGGUGAAGUUUAUAAAGCAGCAAACAAGCUUUCACUUCAAACCACGAAAGUCAAAGCCGACUUCGACCCCCAUCCACAGCUCGCAGGUAGACUUCGGUCCCAUGUGCUUCCCCUAUUUCAAGCCUUGUGCCCGUUGCUUUGUUGUGUCGGCCGCAGCUUGGCCAGAAUCUUCGGGAAAAAAACAGUCGCAUUCUGGUACCAGCCCGGGCGAGCCGCCGCUGCGCCGCCGCCACCUGCACUGCCGCUGCUCGGCCCCGAUGAAUCACUUUCCAGGUCCUUUUUGAUUGGGUCCUCGCGCUUCACCUUGACUGGCUCGUGGUGCCGGUUCACGGGCGCAAUGAUGAUGUUGUAAAAUUGCCAAGCCACAUUCGAAACGACGGCCAGGCCGCCUACGACGGCAAAGAAUAGCACGAAGACCGUGCCGAAGUAUCGUGGCCCUGCGCGGGUACACGAGCGGCGCUUAGGGAGCUGCUGUGCGAUGAAGUCCAUUAGGCGCUGCUACCAGAUCUGGCCAUCAGGUCCCAACCCUUCCAAUGCAAGAUCACAUCAGCUAGGACAAGCACAUGUUCUUAGACGGGUUAAGAAGAGGCCAUGUAAUGUGGGAGGCCAAACAAUAAAGGCAAGGCAAGGCAAGAGAGGGGAGAAGGGCGAAAUACCGUUGCGGUGAGCGAGAACGUGAAGCUCAUGAAUGAACUUACUGUCAAAAAAGUUGUUGAUCUGGACGGUGGCGUUAAUUGCGCUGUUCUUGUUGUUGAUCAUGAUAAGACACGAAUCGUCCGGGAAGACCAGGCCGAAGAGCCGCACACUGCAGGUCGCCUUGCUGCUGCAGGAAGACUCUAUAAAUACGUGGUGUCGAAUGGGAGUAGGGCAAAGGGGAGGCAGGGAAGGCCAGGACAGGAAAUGCCGUGGAAGCAAAGGGGAGCCACACGUAAGUGAGGCGGUAAGUGAGGCGCGGGACAGGGGAAAGGAUGUUCAUCUUGCCGGCCCCCCUGCAUGGGCUGGGAUGCAGGUCCACAUCUCGCGACACAGUCCAUUGAAGCACUUUCCCUCGGCUGCACGUGCAGCGAGGCGAGCAGCGCUCGCCUCCAGCGCCCCGCCCAAUCCUCACCGGGUAUGGGGGUGCAGUUCUCGCCCGCGUAGGUGAUAUCCGCGUCAGGGCUGAGGGCGCAUUCCUGCAGUCCGAAAUGGUUUGCAUGUUUCUCAUCAUCAACAGGAUAAGGCAUCAAAAAGGUGGCAGAUGAAGCCCAUAGAGCACAUGCGGAACGAGGUCCGAGUCCGAGAGGAAACAUUGCAUGUCCGUGUCGCAUGCCAUGGCAAGUCAGGUGGGGUUGAAACCAGAGGCGCACGAAGACCUUCAGUCCCAUAAUGAGUUCGUGAGGGAAGGACUUCCACCAGCAUGCCUAGCCCAGCCGCAACUCAGUUCCGUCCAAUCUUAAGGAGUGCGCGAUCCGACGUAUCCUGCAUGAGCAGCUGGUGGAAGAGGUUCCGCUGGUGCUGAUGCUGCCGGACAGGCGCAGAGCCAUCGUUGUGCAAAAUGGAGUCCGACGGCGUUAAACUGCUUCCCACGGAGAAGCACUCAGAUACGAAGCUCUAGCUACAUCUACCAAGCAACAAGCCCGGCUCAAGCUACACCUGCGCACGCGCAUGUGACCGCCAGGUCCGACCGCAUCGGAACUGGACACUGCCGCGAGAGCAAGCCUUGUGCCCACAGUGGUAAGAUGUCACUGCCCUGAGGGUCCAGGUGGGUAACCGGGUGUAUGUGCCACAGCGCUUAACACCGCGCCCCCUGCAAACCAGCCCCUGGGCUCGUGGCGAGCACGGGCGGCAACUCCAUGGCCCCUGCACCCACGAGGACCUAACAGCCCGGCCACCGCCAUGAGUGUCUCAGGCGGGUCAGUACGCGGGCCGUCAGCAUUGGCAGGACAUUGGCGCACCUCCAGUACGGUCUGCCUCGUCAUGUACACGGUGCUGAUGGUAAUGUUCUUGUUGUUGGUGGUGACUUCAUAAAUCGUCCGGUGCGUCGUCUGAAAGCCGCACCAAUACCACAGGGUUCGGGCCGGGAUAGUCACAGUGGCCGGUUUGCAAAUGCCCGGCACUGCAUUCCGCGGGAGCGGCAUAGGGCGUAGGGCGGGGACAGCGGAAGGAUUAUAGCGUAUAUCAUACUGGGAGGACUGGCUAGGAACCCAGUUCUUGCGCGCUGGAAAUCGAUGAGGCUUCUAAUCUCAGGCAGUCCUGUCCUUGCAAGCAAGAUGAUCCAACGCUGAAGCUAGGGGCAGAAAUCAAGUCCUUCUUACCCCGCCGGCGUCGACACCAUGAUUACUUAGUCACCCCUGACUCGAGCCGCCAUGAGGAUUAGCAAGCUGCACUUACCUCCACACAUAACUCCAGGAGGCUCAUUACUGGCCACAAGCACGGCUUUAACAGUGCCGGUAAGGUUGUACUUCGCCGCUACCGUCGUCCUGCACGAAAGAAUGUUGUUCAUGUCCAUAGGAAGAAUGAAGGAGAUAAUCUCGUUGUGGGCUUACCUAGCCAAAAGCAAAAGCGCUAUCGCUUGCAACAGCAUUAGAACUGCGUGCCGCAUUUCUUACACAGAGCUAAUAGGCUAAGCUUCGUAAUGUUCAUGUAAGAAGAUCGAUGACUGAAAAAAAAGCAAACCUGCGGCACACCUCAGGCAAAAAUGUCGUUGGCCGAGAUCGAUGCCGUGGACGACAUUGCAACCGCUUUCCCUGCUUCCCAUCAGGGUGCAAACACCGAGAACGUCAGAAAUGUAACGACAUAUAUGAUUAUAUUGCAUGAAUGGAUUGCAUGUGCCUUCGAGAUAUCACACCCUAGUAGGCGGGCCUGUUAAGCAGGUUUGAAUAGGUAGCUGAAAGCUCCAUGGAAAAACAGCCAUAACGUGUCCAGAUUGUCAUUUCAGGGGCCUCACACAGCACUCACGAGGUAGCAAGCAGAAUCACAUCCUGCGGGAGGGAGCCGCUGCUCCUGAGAGGGUCUUGGGAGAAAAGCACGGACAGCUGGGCUUUCACUACGUUGGGCUAGUUGGCAAGCCUGCCACCGGAGGGCUGCCAUCAGCUCCCAAGGAGUUCAAUAUAGAAAUACCCCCUUGCGUGGCUGCUUUUUUGGUUUGCUUCUACCACGCCGGUUCCAUGUGACUAAACUUGCAGUAUGUACGGCGAAGUCUUAAGGCUACCCGAAGAAGUUAACACAGUUAUCAUUAGUACUGUUUAUGUAGGUUAUUAUUGAGUUACAACUUGCCUCAAAGCCGUAAAGUCACAUUUUGCGUCUUCGGCAGAGCUUUUCGCGCCAAGCAAUUAUGCUGAAUCCUAUGGGGUUCGCCGCACGCCGGUAAACACAACCAAAGAUGGUUUCUACACGGGCAAAAAAAUCUGAUAGCAGCCGAGCUCAGGUGCGCCCUGAAAUGGAUUUGCUUGUAAGCCUUUCGGAUGCCUGUAUGGGAACGCCAAGGAUAUCGGUGUGUCCUGGCUUAUCAAGUCUUGUACAUGGUGCACAUUGCGAGUUACUGUGCGAGAGGUGGCCCCGGACAUGGUUAACCCGCGCAGUCGCCUCUGAGGGAGGUGGACCGGAACAGACGUCUAUGCCGUCUGGAGCCUGUUACGUAUGCGGAGUAUGACACGGAUGAUGACGAUUCUGAGGAUCUAGCAGGUGGUUUACAUAACAGCGGCUAUGACGCGGGCCCCAAGGGGGCAGGCCCAAACACCCAAAUGGUACGUCGUUGUCCAUCUUGGCUUUCAGUCCCACCAUACGGGGAACAUCGGUGUAAUGAAGGGAGUCAAGAAAUUGUCAGCUUUGGCCCAUCCCGGGCCUCCAGCUUUGCUUUGCCUGCCUGCGAACUAGCUGUCGGCAGCUGUUGGUGAGCGUUGCUUAUCCCUGGUUAAACCUGCACUGGAUCCAGACGUGCCGCGACGAAUUCGACGCCACGACAGGAAUGCGUUUGACAGUCCUCUGCCGAAUAUAAACGUGUAGGUUGAGGCAAGGGUAAACCCAGUUGCCUUGCACUGGGCCCCCAAAAGCAGUGGAGGUACGGCUUGACAGCUAACAUGUCUGGAUUUCGGCUGCUGAUUCCCUUCCCGCUUAUGCCCCUUGCCUGCCUGGCACGCAGCACGUCCGCUUUUCCCAACAACGGCAGCAUGGAGGCUCCAAACCUGGUAGUAAAGGGAAUCAGCAGGUACGUAAAGGAGCGUCAUGGAUGUUGAUUGGGACGAGUCAAUGGACAGGACUUUGCAGUCUCAGGCCGCCACAUGUCGCAUGGAGAGAUGCCCUUGCGUCCUCAAAGGCAAACAACAUCAGUGUCUCUUCGCACCACAACCACAACCAGCAGGCGGCACCGCGACGUAGCACCAGGCUGUCAGGCCCCUCCCUCGUACCGCCGUACCAUGGGGGAGGCGGCAGUUCGGGCCAGGGGCGGGAAGGUGGUCACUCGGAGCACGACGCUAGCGCGGAGGAGGAACGGUCGCAGGACGACGUGGAGGACGACGACGAGCGGAAAGUGGGGUUCGUCGAUAAUAGCCCUCAGGUGUGGCGGUGCCUGGUGUAAUUCUUCGCUGUGUAACCAAUACCGUCUGGAAUGUAAGGGGCUAGUCUCAAGGCAAGGAACGAUGAAGCUAUGGCAUGGCCGUUUUCACCUGUGUGCGUGUUAUAAUAUGCCGGCCUGCUGCGUGUGACCCGUGGGUCUCUCAAAGGUGGCAUUGUAAAGUAGGUGGCUGUGAACCUCGGUGCUCCUUGCUCCAUCCCACCAUGACACGCGCCGCUGUGCAUUCUGCAUCCACGAUGCAGUGCUGCUCCAAGCUGAAGGGCACCACCCAUAGGUCGUAGCAGGCCUUGUGCUAUUUUUCCACGGUAACAGUACGCCCCUCUUCACCAGUGCAAUCCGCUGUCUUGCAUGUACAUGAAGGCUGACCAAAAGGCUCGCCUGCGGUCACAAAUGUCACCCAAGCAGCGACAGCUGCAGCAGCAACCUAUGACGUCAGCUAAACCCGCCACCGCCGCCGGCGGUGCGGGCGGAGGCAGCAGCGGGCCAAGCCGAGACGCGGGAGGCCUAUCAGUGCGGCGGACAAGCGCACGGCUGCUGAACCAUCAGUCUCAGCAGUUAACAAUACCGCAGCAGCAGCAGCGCCAGGUAGGCCAUUGGCAUGGAAGGGCUUAUUUUUUGUGUCUGACAUUGCCUGGCAGAUGGCUAGCUAUACCUUGCAUCAUUAUUUCUCUACCCGCUCAUGCCUCCAGGCUCGUCACGGUGGUGACGCAAGCCAUAGCAGUGAGGAAGCUGAGGAUGACAGUGACGGCGAGCACGCAGUUCGGACCGUUGCGACGCGGCGGAGUAGCCAGAGGGGCAUCCGACGAAGCGCCCAGCUAAGCCGCAGCCCAGCCGGCAACGCCACUAGCGAUUCCGGCAGGUCUGGUGGCGAGGACGACGAUAGCGACGGCAUUGGAGAUGAUGAUCACGACGCCGAAGAUGACCGGCGCCCGCGGCGCACGUCCGGAGGCGUCGGCGAGGCUAAGGAUGGCCGCAGCGGUAGGACCGGGCAGCACCGCCGCGCGAACGGCCACAGGGAUGGCCAGGAGGCUGAGGAGGACGAGGACGACGAGGAAGGCAUUGCCGAGGAAGAUGAAGAGGAGAGCGAAGGGGAGGAAGAAGAUGAAGAGGACGAGGACGAAGGCGUGUAUAAAGGCCGCUACCAUCUUCGAGGACACCAAGUCAAUGCUUUGCGGAAGCACCCCGCAAAGCGACCCCGGUAUUCCGAGGAGCAACCUGGGGAGGGCCCUAGCCGGCGCAGCGGCGGCGGACGAGGCGAUGAGGACGACGACGACGACGAGGAUGGGGACGAGGAGGAGGAGGGCGAGGAGGAGGACGGGGAGGAGGACGGGGAGGCCAAGCGCCGCAGGGACCGAGUACGGUCCCGCAGCAGGGGUGGGGACCGCAGCCGGUCCGUUGGCCGCCGCCGGGGCAAGGGUGACGGUGGCAAGGGCCCAGCGCGGCGGUACACGUUGCGGGAUCGGAGCCGCAUGGUGCCCAUGCAGGUCCAGGAACAGCAGCGGCAGCGCGAGGAGCUCAGACAACGGGAGUUGAUGUGAGCGGGGUAUGCCCUUGGAGGGAACGGAAGAUGCAUUGGUGUUAUGCAAAACGCCAUGGAAGGGAUACAUGGAACGAGUGGCGGCAGGAAAUGUGACUCCGCAACUUGCGCAUCUAGGCGGGCACGGGGGACCGCUGAUGAGUUGCUGGCUGGCGGAGGCAGCCCCCAUAAGCACUGUUGCACCCGCCCGGACUUGUAGCGGUACCGGUUGGUACACAGCGGCCUAAACUCGUCCCUGUCUGUCCUCCCUAAAUACCCAACGCACGCACCCGGUACCGUACACUGCUGCAAUGCAGGGCCCGCAAACGUUUCCGGGACCGUUCCCGCGGCCAGGGAGCCAGCGGCGGCAAGCACGGUGGAGGUGGCGGGGGAGGGGGAGGCGGGGGAGGUAGCAACCGCCGCUCAGGCGGCGGGUGGGGUUGGCGCAGCGGUAUCUCCGAUGACGACGUUCCGGACGUUGACUGCACCAGCGGUGGCAACCCCUGGCGCAACGUCCAUCAGGGAAUUGGACAAUGUGGGUUAUGGAGGGGUGGGCCCAGAUCACAUGUCUGGUGCGGUGCCGAUGGCUGGCUUGGGCCUGCUUGGCGCAUAUGUGUGACCUGUACCACGUCCCCUGACGAUGGCUUACCAGCCCCUACUGCCGGGCUCGCCCGCCUUGCAACCCGCUUCAUCCUUUCCUCCUGAGGCCCCAACCCUUAGUUAUAUUCUGUCUCUACACUCUGCAUGUGGGUUAUGUAUUGCUCGUCCGUAAGCUGCAACUGUAACGGGCGCAUAAUCACCAAGCCCUGCCCUGCCCUCUGGUUGCUUUAAGUCCUGCCACUCCGCAUGCUCCCACCCCCAUUUCAUGCAAUUCUCAAACUGCAGUGGCUUCUUGGCAGGCCGGUGCCUUUGCACAGGCGCCUCCCGCAACCCCGCUACCCGGCCAGCCCAUCACCGCCCACGGCGGAGCGCAGGUGGUGCCCAGCAGCGCAGCGCACAUGGGACCGGGGGCAGGGGCUCAAGGAGCCGCGGCGGCAGCCGCGGCGGCAGUGGCCGCAGCCACACCCGGGCCGCUAGGCGGCGGUCAUGGCGGUGUCGGCGGGGCUGCACCCCUGGCGGCCUGGGAGCAGGCACUGCUGGCGGACGCGGCGGCGUUGGCUGCAGGCGCCGGAGGCAAAGAGAAGGCUGGCAACGCGGAAAUUAACCCUGUGGCGGUAGGUGGGCGUGAUCUUGGCUCGCGCGUGCUUCUUGCAGGGUGAAGACAUGCCUGGGCGGGAGGAGCCAGGUUGGCUGCCCCAUUAAAUUCGGCUGCGGUUCCCAUUACGUGGGUGGGGAUGGCUGCCUCACCCCCAUUAACAACGGCUUUAGCUUCCCUCCUGCUGGCUAGCAGGCAGCAGCGUCUAUUGUCUGCGAUUUCUGCGGUGUAUUGCACGUCAAAACAUCGCAUUCAUUAAUUACCACGCCUUUUGUCCAGGAUUGCGUCGCUCGCUCCGCCGCCAUGGCGUAUCGUGCUGCGUGCCUUGGCCCUGAGCCCGUGUAAGCUGAGAGGGCGUCGAUCACUACCUUCCAGGUUCCUGCCACUCCUUCACGGCCCUCCUGCCUCCUAAAGCAUACAUAGCAUCAUAACAUGUCACACUCCACCACCCCGCAUUCUUUCCGUUUUGACCUUGCCUUGGCCCCGUCUAACACGCGCAGGUCGACCCCAGUGUAGGAUUUGACCAGGUGGGCGGGCUGGACUCGUACAUCGAUGCGCUCAAAGAGAUGGUGUUCCUGCCGCUGGUCUACCCGGAGCUGUUUACGCGCUUCAGCGUGCAGCCACCGAGGGGGGUGCUGUUCUACGGACCGCCUGGCACGGGUACGGCAGCGUUGUUGUCUCCCUGGUGGGCCCUAUGGCCGAGGGGCGGUGGGAAUCCGGGAGGGCGAGCAGAGACUGCCCGCGGCGGGGAGGGCAGGGACGGUUGCGGCGGGCAGGCGGAUCUCGGCGCGGAGUGGGAGUCGUGUGGGGCAUGCCGUGGCGUCGGGAAUGGACCGCUGGAAAGGACCGCGUUUCGGCGCGGGUGGAUCGAUCCAUGAAUGACUCGGACGGUCUCGUGGCCUCCCCGGAUGGAUCCGUGGCCUUGUCCUGCAGGCAAGACGCUGGUUGCCCGUGCUCUUGCCGCCCACGCUAGCCGUUACGGCGGCCGCAAGGUGUCGUUCUACAUGCGGAAGGGCGCCGACGUGCUGAGCAAGUGGGUGGGCGAGGCCGAGCGGCAGCUGAGGCUGCUGUUCGAGGAGGCGCAGCGCAACGCACCCGCCAUCAUCUUCUUUGACGAGAUCGACGGACUCGCACCGGUGGGUGGCGAUGUGGCUGGGUGUGUUCUGUGGACAGUGUGGCCAUUCCGGUGGCGGCGGUCAGCCUCAGUGUUAGCUAGGGUUUCGGAGUGUUAGCUGGGACGGGGGCACGAUGGCUGGUAGAUAACGUAGAGAUUAAAGUCGUAAUGCUAUGUCAACCUUCCUCCCCUGGUUUUCCGCUUCCGAAAUGAAGGUCCGCAGCAGCCGCCAGGACCAGAUCCACAACUCCAUUGUGUCGACCCUGCUGGCCCUCAUGGACGGCCUGGACAGCCGGGGCCAGGUGGUGGUCAUCGGGGCCACUAACCGCCCGGACGCACUGGACGGGGCGCUGAGGAGGCCCGGCAGGUUCGACCGGGAGCUGCUGUUCCCGCUGCCGGGAUUGCAGGUGGGCUCCUUGGGACAGGUUCCAGGUUUCUUGGGCCGCUUCCAUGUCUGAAGCCAAUAUGCGUUGUGGCACAGGCGGAAUUGGCUGUCGGGCAGUGCCGGUGUGCAAGUACACGUCGGCCUGCAGGGGCAUGCGCCUGCGCGUGAAGCCGGAUGUGGGCGUGGGUGUGUUUCAGGACAGAGGAAGGAGGGCACAUCGCGGCUUGAGGAGACGUAGUAGCGGGUUUCACCCUCUUGCCCUUCCUGGUGGCUGUCCUUUGAGCGAGCUACAUCCUUGUGGACCGCCCUCCUGGUCCCGCAGGCGCGCCGCUCCAUCUUGGAUAUCCACACUCGCAAGUGGUCGGAGCGGCCUAGCGCUCAGCUGCUGGACGAGCUAGCCGGGUUGUGUGUGGGGUACUGCGGGGCGGACCUCAAGGCCGUCUGUGCUGAGGCCGCGCUGCACGCCGUGCGCCGCAGGUGAGGAGGGUGGGCGUCAUGCUAGGCUGCGCUUGUGUGUUUCUCUGCUUGUUUGACUGGGCCACGUCAGGACAAGGUGCACAUGGCAGUAUACGGGCGCCGCCCACUCCAUGCUGCACGUUGCCUCUGAUGGUUGCCACCCGAGUGUCUUGAUUCCCGCUUGCUGCAUCGGCUCUCCACCGCCUGAGGCCUGCAAUCAACCGUGCACGGCAACGUUUUCGCCGCGUGCGACCCGUGGGUCAGGUACCCGCAAAUUUAUGCAUCUGAGGAUAAGCUGCUGGUGGAGCCCGCCUCCGUGCGCGUGGAGCGGGAGGACUUCCUGGCGGCCAUUAGCACCGUCACACCUGCCUCCAACCGCUCCGCUGCUGCGCACGCGCGGCCGCUGUCCGGCGGCGCCGCGCUCUGCCUGGCGCCGCGCCUGGCCGCUAUCCUGGGCCGCCUCAAAAGUACUUUCCCACCAGCGGCGCAGUGCCUAUCGGCCAGCGUUGCCCGGGAGGGCGGAGCUGGUGGAGCCGGCGCCUCCACGUCCCUCAUCCUCCCGCCGGGCCGAGUGGGCCCUUGUGGCGGCGCCGCCGCCGCCGCCACCGGCACGUUGCGGCUGCCUGGUGGUGCCGCCUGCAGCGGCGCCUUUGGCGCCCUGCUGGCCCGCCUGCCGUCGUUUCUGGUGUCGCGGCCGCGAUUGCUCCUUUGCGGUCCAGCGGCAUGUGGCCAAGCGCAGUUGGCGGCGGCGCUGCUGUACGCGCUGGAGGGCCUGCCAGCACACGCUAUCGGGUUGCCGGCGCUGCUGGCCAACCCCGGCGCCAGGUCGCCGGAGGAGGCGCUAGUGUGGGCGUUUGUGGAGGCACGCAGGUAGGUGUACGAGCAAUGUUUUCGCUUUAGACGGCGUGAGUGUACGACAAAAUCAGCGGGCAGAUGGCUGCGGGUAUCGCAGGAGCGCGAACUUACGGCUUUUUGGUAGUAGUUGUAUGUAUGCUUGGCGAAGUUUGACCAUCAGUGCUGCGCUAUGGCCAGAUUGGGGCUUGCGCCCACGUUCCAGACCAGAUAGCACAAAGUUCUCCACCUGGCUGCUGCUGCUGCAGGUCCGCUCCAGCCAUCCUGUUCUUACCGCACUUGCAGCUUUGGUGGCAGACGGCGACCCCGCAGCUGCGCGCCACGUUGGUGAUGCUGCUGCGUGACCUGCCCCCGGAGCUGCCGCUGCUGCUGCUGGCCACUGCGGACGUGCCGUUCGGGGAGUUGGACCGGGGGGUGCGGGCGGGCGUCUUCUCCGGCACCGAGGACGUGGUGGUGCUGCAGCGGCCCAUGGAGCAGCAGCGCAGGGAAAUGCUGCAGGUGAGGCAUGGUGCUGGAGAGUGCUGAGUCCCUUGACGGGUACGUCAGUUGUACUUGAGACGGUUGGCUGACCCACUUCUUGCAAAAACGAAGUGAGCAUGCCGGUGCUUGCAAGCGGAUUAUGUUGUCAGAGAUCCUCUGAGAAUCUGAACGACGGGAUUAAGAAAGAGAGGACCUCAGGCUAGAGGGACGAGCAGAUAGGCGGAGAUAAGGCGGGGAUGGGGAAAUCAUGGGUAUCGGCGUAGGUGUGGGGAUCACUGGAAGACUGAAUGGCUGGGCGAGGUCUUCCUCGCUAAAGGGAGGUGCAAGGCCGCCUCGCCUCCAUCGCCGGUGCAAGGCCUCCUCGCCGGUGCAAGGCCUCCUCGCCGGUGCAAGGCCGCCUCGCCGGCUGGGUCGCGGACGCGGACGCGGGAGCUAGCCGCUUGCGUAGUGCGGGGCGUUGGUGCUCAAGAGUCGGCAUCCUUGGGCUGAAUUCAUCCUCAACUUGCACCGCAUGUGCCCGUUCCGGCCCACCAUACCCUCUUGCCCUGGCAGCAGCUUCAAUCGUGUGUGGUUCGUCUUCCCACCAUACCCCUUCAGUAGCUGAACAACCAAGCCUUAAUGCCUCGUGACCUCCUAGUCAUCCUGCCGUCCGCAUCUUUGGUUUUGACAUGUGCUUUAACGACCUAAGCUGUUAUGUUACGUGCUGGUUGUGGAAGCUCUUAAGAGAGCCCAGGACCUGCUAAGGGAAGUUCGACAAGGACGAAAAAAAGAAAAAAAGCAAACUUAUCACAAGCUUAUGCGUCUUAACCAGAUAUCAGCAACCAUCCUGGCUGGAGUCCUCCCAGGGCUUGCCUGCUCCAUAGCCCUCUUCAUGGCAUCACCCGUAUGGGGAGCACUAUACCGUAAAGUGGACGCGUAUAUAUAAGCCAUGUGAACGUAACUUGUAGGAGCCCAUCAUGGCCGCCGCGGAGCCGGUGGACCCCGCCCUCUUGGCCGCACCCGCUGACGUGUCCGGGUCAGCUGCCACGGCGGCGGCAGAGCCGCUGCCCAAGGACCCUUCGGUGGCGGAGGCCCGCGCGGCGGAGGCCCGCAGCGCCGAGGAGCUGGCGGCGCGGCGGGCGUAUGAGGAGGACCAGGCGGCGCUGCGGUCGCUGCGGAUGGCGCUGCGCGGCGUGACCCUGACCCUUCUUAACGAGCGGCGAUGGAAACAGUUUUCUGCGCCUGUGGAUCCCGCGGAGGACCCGGACUACUGGCGGCUGGUGAGUGAAAACUGGGGGAUGGUUAAGACGGUGCUUGGGCUGCGGGGUUUCCUCAGUAUCAGGUGCGGGUGGAUGGUAUGGGUGCUUGUGCGCCGAGAGGCGAUGUGGAUUGCUGGGCCCGGCGCUAUGAUGCUGGGCUGCAAAGCUCGUAAGUCACUAGGUCACUGGGGCUCGUAAGUCACUGAACACCUGGAACGAGCUGCCAGUACUGAAUGGUAAGAUGGGGGAUGUGAUGGCCGUGAUGGCUGCUGCAGCAGCGGCAGCAGCAGCAGCAGCAGCAGCAGCAGAAGACUUGGUGGUGGCCACUACGAGAGCCGUUCCUCCCCGGUCUGCUUGCCGUAGCUCCUAACGUAGCUUCCUUGCCUUUACAGACGGCCUCUCCUUCCGCCGCGUGUCCCGAGUUGCAGGUGAGCAACCCGAUGGACCUGGCCACGGUGCUGGCCCGCGUGGAUGCUCGACAUUACGUCACCAUUGGCCAGUACCUGUCGGAUGUGGCGCUUAUAUUGCAGGUAGGAGCUGCCAGCCGGCCCCUCGCUGCGACCGGCCGACUGCUCGCAUAGGCAUAAAUCUAGCACGAAAGGACUGCUGGAUGAGUUCUUAGUCGUCUCGGUGUCCCUUGGGGGGAUCCUUGCAGGCGGCCGGGCCCCGUAAGGCUAUACCUCAUCUGGGUCAGUGCGCGACUGGAUAUGCGACAUAUGCAUCAUGCAACUCCACGGACUAUGAACGCACGCUAGGUAGUCGUUUCGGGAAACCCUCUUAAGCACGCACGGAGGGGCGGCCCGCUGCCCAUUGACCCAACUCACACACACACGCGCGCGCGCGCCAUCCCUUGCGGCGCAAUAUAUAAAAUUGCACAAGCACUUGGUCCCACGGUUGCGCGCGGCGUCGCACAGGGAGCCAGGGAGUACUACGUGGAUUCCGUCCGUGAUCUCAGUCGUGCCACUGCCCUGGCGGACGAGGCGGAGCAUCUAGUUAAAGCCCGGGUGCCCCUGGAGCUGGCUAAGCGCUGCGAGGACAUCCUCGCACGGGGAGGUCCCGCGCCGCCGCCGCGCGGGAUGGAGCUGGUGGAGGAGCUGGCAGUAGCCAGGGCAAAGGUGGUGGCGGCGGCGCGCACGGCAGCUGUUGGGACAGCAGCGGCCGGCGGCGGUGGGACCGGGAGUGCUGGGGCUGGUGGCGUUGCCGCAACUGGCGGCGGCAGUGGGCCUGGUGCCGGCGGCUAUGCAACGCGGCAGCGAGCCGGUGGUCAUGGCGGUCACUCGGACGGGCCCUGCAUGCCCAUGUUCGAUGACCCGGAGGCGCUACUGCGGAAGACGCGGCUGUUACAGCAGCGGGAGCGCGAGCAGCAGGUGUCCGGGGCCGGCGCAGCGCAGGCUUGCCGGUUAUCCCAGGCGCAUGUGCACGCACAGCUGGCGGGACCCAGGCCGGAUGAUGGGUCCGCGGGACAUGACGCGGCGGUUGACGACGGCAAGGAGGCGACGUCUCCGCCAGGCAAAGCUCACACAGCGGAACCGAAGCAGCAACAGCCGCAGACUGGGGCCAGAAGAGUGUCGGAUGGGGUGCAGGCCGGGCCCAGCGGCUUGGGAGGGACGUCGGCCGCCGUUGCCGCCGUAUCGACAGUGGCUGCGGCGGGUAACGUGGACAUACCGGCCCGGGCAAAUGGCGGGACGUUGGAUGCGACAGGCACCCGGUUGCAGGCGGGGGAGCCUGGGGAAACACAGCCUGCUGAGGGGCAGGACGGAGCCAUGGAGGUGGACGCAGGAACGCAAGCGGAGGCGGCAGGGUCGCAGGGCCAGUUGCGAGAAGGGACACCAGCGCCGGCCCGCGGCAGGGUGGACGAUGACAAUCAUAAUGAUCAUGAUGAUGAUGACAUUCUGAAGGACGUGGCUGGGGGGCAUGCAAGCGAUGAGCUGCGGGCGCAGCCCGAAUACCCUGGCCACCAGGCGCAGGGUAUGGGCUCAGAGGUGGCCCUUGUGGUGCGUGAUCCCCAGGACCCGGUAGCCCUGGAGCGGGCUAAGGCGCUGCUGGAGCGCACCGUGUCCACAACGGCGGACUGGUCGUUUGAGGCCUUGGAGCUGCUGUACGCAAGGGCUGCUGGUGUGGUUUUGGAGCAUGCUCGCACACGGGACAGGCAGCUAGUGACGGCGGCGCUGGACGAGAGCCUUGCGGCAGCUGUUGCGGCGGGCAAUGGUGCGGCGGUGGGGUUGCCCAACAAAUUACGUGCACGAAACUGAAUUUUUUGUAGGAGGAAGCAUUACGGAGCAUGUGGGCGGGUGGCGUAAUUGCUGAGGACAGGUGCACGAUGCAUUGGUGUACCAGGAAGCAAGGACGCGGGCUCACGCGGGUCAGGCAUGUUGGGUGACUGUGGGUGUACAUGGUGGAUGCUUGGAUGGGAAAUAGGAAUCGUGCACAAGAGCAUAAGGAGCAUGUGCGAACACUGUUGCAGUCAGGGCGCAGAGCUUUGUUGGGAAGCGCUCAAGUGACCUCAAGUGAUUCUGGGAGUAGCUAUGGACAUCGACUGAGGGGAGCUAUAUUGACGAAGCUUUGCCGUACUGGUUUCAGGACUGUUCGCGUUCCUAAUAGCUACGCAAUCGGCCUCGGGAUCUAAGCAGGCUUAUUGCUCAGUCCUGCCGUGGUGCGUUACAGUAGCUAAGCCGCCAACCGCAAGCACAACUCCGUAGCAAAGCAACCCGUUGCGAAACCCCCUCCCAACACCAACCCAUUGUGAAAGUUGCAUUAGUGGCCGAUAGUAAUGACAGUUACCUGUGUUGCACCGUUAACGAAUCUGCAACCUCAAGCGCCCCGACAAGAGCCACGCGGGCGACCCACCCGAAACCAGCAAGGACAAACCAGGGACCGCUGCAUUGUGGCAACCCCCGGGGUUGCCCUGGGUGGGUGGGGGGAACGACGAGGCACAGAAAAUUGAUGAGAGAACGCACCGAUACGGGUACUCCAAACUUAAACCCAUAAUAAAGGACAAUUAGUACGAUAUCGACCUGUGGGUGGGUGGGGGGAAACUAGAGGACACUGUCCCAGCAGCGGGACACACCUCUUGGUAAUAGUCAAAACAACGGCAGUUAAAGAACCAAUGCGCCUGUGGGACCCAAGUAGGAGCUCGGCGUCCCUUGCCGUACUGCGGUCCGGCACAUGCAUGCAUGCAUGCGCCCGACUUCCACGCACCACGGCAGUUCCUUCGCAAUAACUUGCCUAUCUCUACACUCAUACUUCGCUUCGAGAAGUCGAAGCUUAUUGCUCAGUCCUGCCGUGGUGCGUUACAGUAGCUAAGCCGCCAACCGCAAGCACAACUCCGUAGCAAAGCAACCCGUUGCGAAACCCCCUCCCAACACCAACCCAUUGUGAAAGUUGCAUUAGUGGCCGAUAGUAAUGACAGGUCUUGAAAGGACCCACAAGUGCAACGAUCACUGGUUGGUAUAGGUCAAGAGGGUCCUCACCCAUGCCCCAGCCGCGGUGCUGUCUUCACCAUUAUGCUCUCGAAACCUCCGCACUCUUCCAGCACCCAGCUGCUGCACCAAGCUGCAAUCCGCACGGUUGUUAACGGCAGCGGUCACACCUUCAGAGUGCAGUGAGUGUGUUCCAAAGCGCGGAGACAGCCCUGCCUCCACAAAGAGCCUCCACAGGGGGCCCGGAGCAGUCUGUAUGGUUUAGUGGGAUGGUUGUGUUAAGCGGCGUGGUAUGCUGCUCCAAGCUCAGCAUGCCAUCCGAGUUGGCCACGACCCAGCGGAGGGAAGGGAUGGUGGUGACGAUGCCGCACAACCCAUAUCGUGUCCAUCGGUGCCGCUUGCAGCACACACGGACCACUACAAGUGGGGCACGAUAUGUGUAUCAGGGUCUGCAUUUCAGGGGUGGCACUGGCACAAAGUUGGCGCCGUCGGCAAAGUCCACUGGGAAUGCAAUCGUGUAUCAUCUUGGCGGGUGGAUACCCCUUGGGUGACCCCGAGUGGACGGGACUAUGCCCUCUUUCAGUAACACAGACUAGCUUGGACGAACGGAAAAGCUGCAGCCAAGACUAAGCUAUCACUACUACUACUGUAAUUAUUACGAUGAUAUGAUGACUAUUAUUAUGGAUUUUAUGAAUUUGGGCCACCAGGUUGCAUGAGGCCCGAGAGACAUGGUGAACCAAAGCCGUGCAUGGUGGCGGUUGCAUGCAUCAGGGCUUGUCCGAUGAUUGCGAAGGCGGAAACACCACCCAGCGACAUUCGCACCCUGUCGCAUGUCAGUAUCUGGUGAAAUUGUAAGGGGGAGCAUUAGGUGACUGCUGUCGAUGUGACUAAGGCAACUGCAAAUUAUCCUCGUGACCCCACGGUCUGGCCAGUUGUGCAAACAAAGCAGGGUUUAGCAGCCAAACGAAAGGGCCAUGCCCCUUGAAGGGUGCGUCCGCGAACUGGUGGCACUCAAGAGGGAAACAAUCCACUGAGAUCCAAGCCCUAUUACCAGAGCAGUGGUGCACACACGUCAUGUGCAUGGCCACAAGGGGUCCACCUUUGGAUCAUCAAGUCUUUAGCAGGUUGGCUUUGAUUGUCACCAGCACCCGCUGGGCGUCCAAGCACCCCUGCCGAAUGAGGCUCGGUAACACAUUAAACAUCACCGACAGUUCCAGGAGUCUGAGAUGGACCCUCCAGUUCCGAUACCCAUCAGCCCACAGCAAGGGCACCGUCCUCAAGGACCCAACCAACCCAGCCGCCAUACGAAAAACUCGGAACAGCAUCUGUGUGGAUGGCAAAUGGGUGCGCGUGGGUAGGUCGCCAAAAGAGUUUAACCCACCCUAGACUGCAAAGAAACGUGCAAUAUUUGGCGACUCCGACAGCUCAUGGCUGGCGGUAGGACCAGACCUGGACCGGUAAAACUGUGGACCACAUUGGGGCAGCAAUAGCGACAUGCCCGAAAGGUCCGCGAUCUCAUGCACCCAGUAGGGAGUACAGCUGUUGAACGCUGCGCAGGUUCCACCAUCCUCUGCACUGCGAGUCUCAUCCUUUCGGGACGAAUUGAGCCGUUGAUGGUGUCAACACCAAGUCGGUGAGAACCCGCUCUCGCCGCUGGUAGGGCGCCCGCACCCUGGUGUGCGAAAAAACCCCAACAGGCUGGUGCCAGCCUACUGGGCACUGCACAACCUGGGAAAAUUCGCCCUUGCUGUGCAAAGCCUAAGAUUGCCGAGCUUCCUUGUGCAUAUCAAUGUGGUGAUAGCCGGACUUCUGAGACACGGUGGGCAGAUAGCCGUGUGGUUGUGGCACGUCCCACAAGCAUCCCACGGGACUUAUACCUGUAGCUCGGCACCACACGGUGUUCGAUAAUAUAGCAUAGCGUGCAUCAGAAAUUAGGCGGAAUUUGGGAGUGGCCUUCUUUAGGAACAAAACCGAGGGGCAAUACGCAGCGCAGUUGGCAAUCGACUCAUGGUCCCGCCCCAGUGGCGACCAGUUCGGUGAUCACAAAAUUCAGUCUGCUGUUAGGCCGACGGUUGGCCAGGCUGUAGGGUGCUUCGCACAACAGCGGAAACCGAACAGUACCCAGGCCAUGACCAGGCGGGACUGCAUAAAUAACUUCCAACAUGCUGUUUUGGCUUUCAACCGGGCCCUCAUCUGUGAUGGCUGGUUGGACUUAGGUUUGUCUGCGCGCGGCAAGCUCGUCCCGGCCCUCCUUACCUUCAAUGUCGGGACAACUCUCAUGUCAUCCACGCGCCGGGUGUGCGCUUGUUCAGGGCCUGUCGGUACCGGUGUUCUCUCCGGGGAAAUGCGGACACCUUGGUUGCGGGCACUGGCUUGCCGUGUCACGCCUCUUAUGGGGCACUUGUGUCGGCCGACUCGAGGCCGGUCCGGCAUCCGGAGGAUAAACUUGCGUUUGACGCGCUGGUAUAAUCAGUGCUGCUGAGGGAUCGCUAUAUUUUGAGCCAAAGAGUAACUGUAGAUUUGGUCUUGUUGCCGAUUGCGAUGGUAUUGAGCCAUUGCUACGUACAUAAGAUCGCGCCCGACGAAGAUGCACUGUUUGGUGACGACCACAGUGGUCGAAGCUGUAUGACGGCCGAUGUGCGGCCGGGCGCGCUGGUUGUUGCAGGCCGCCGGCCAGGAGACGGGAAAAGGGGGCCAAUGCUUCUUAAGUAAGCCUCUUCUUUCAUUGAAUAGCGGGACAAGAUCGUUUAGUAGACGAACGCGUGUCUGCAAACGCGCAUGAACAGGUUCCCUUGAAUGGCAAUGAAUUAGUAGCCAUGUCCUGUUCGCUGGGCACCCAGGAAGAUCUUGUAUAUGUAGUGUGUUAAGAUCUAGAGACGCGGCGGCAAGGUACGCAAAGCACGAAGGCGAAGUCGGGAUGUAUCGGGGAAAACUGGUGUGAUGAAGCGGGAGUAUGGAACCAGUGCGCUGUCUUCUUGUGCUUGCCCGGAGUGGGCACUCAUGUUGGAUGGUUGGGUAGCUGAUGUGAAGUGGGGGCAAGGAAGGAAAUUGGGUUUCUGCAUACCCGCGCAGCUUUAGCACCAAAGGUGAUUUAAGCCUGCCCACACAGUAGGGCACGACAGACCGAUUUAAUGGGUCUUGUAGCCUCUUUACCCUACCGCAGUCACGUGAGUAUGUACCCUUUGCGGGGUUGGGGUGCGUCACUGUCGACUGCCAAAGUAAUCACAACUGCGAGCCACAUCCGGCCAUAACCACAGUGAAGACGGGCAGUAUUAGAGCUCUUCUCACAAGAGACUUCUGGCCACAUCCAGCCUAAGCACAGCGAGUGUCCAAAAUUGUUGGCCACAUCCGGCCUCGUAAGCAGCUUGUGUGGGAUGUUACUGGCCCCUCCAGCCUAUAGCUGUCGGCUGUCGGUCUUUACCGGCUCCAAGCAGGGGAGAAAAAUAUCGGAACCGUUAGUAACCUUAAGCAAUUGAUGCGCGAGGUCCAAAAAACUGCCCGGNCCAUGCGGCAGCAUGAGCCGUCUAUGCGCGAAGUCCCAAAACUGCCUGGCCCAAACGGCCACAUAACAGGCGAUGCGCAAUUCCACGAAAACUGCCUGGCCCAAACGGCCACAUAACAGGCGAUGCGCAUUCCACGAAAACUGCCUGGCCCAAACGGCCUCAUAAGCAGUUGAUGCGCGAGGUCCACGAAACUGCCGGCCCGAACGGCCUCAUAAGCAGUUGAUGCGCGAGGUCCACGAAACUGCCGGCCCGAACGGCCUCAUAAGCAGUUGAUGCGCGAGGUCCACAAAACUGCCGGCCCGAACAGCCUCAUAAGCAGUUGAUGCGCGAGGUCCACGAAACUGCCGGCCCGAACGGCCUCAUAAGCAGUUGAUGCGCGAGGUCCACGAAACUGCCGGCCCGAACGGCCUCAUAAGCAGUUGAUGCGCGAGGUCCACGAAACUGCCGGCCCAUACGGCCUCACAAGCAGUUGAUGCGCGAGGUCCACGAAACUGCCGGCCCGAACGGCCUCAUAAGCAGUUGAUGCGCGAGGUCCACGAAACUGCCGGCCCGAACGGCCUCAUAAGCAGUUGAUGCGCGAGGUCCACGAAACUGCCGGCCCAUACGGCCUCACAAGCAGUUGAUGCGCGAGGUCCACGAAACUGCCGGCCCGAACGGCCACAUAAACAGGCGAUGCGCAAUUCCACGAAAACUGCCGGCCCAUACGUCCUCACAAGCAGUCGAUGCGCGAGGUCCACGAAACUGCCGGCCCGAACGGCCACAUAAACAGGCGAUGCGCGAUAUCCAAAAACUGUCGGCCACAUCUGCCUGCGCAGGCAGUCCAAGCGCGGUAGUACUAGCUAGAUAUAACCUUGGGGAAAGCGCUCUCGGCUUCGUGACUUGUGGUAGUUAAGCCCGGUGUCCGGUAGUUGCUGUGGCGCAUCACACCGCCAGUGCCUGAAGGGGGCCGGUGGACAGAGCCAGGGUAGGUUGCAUGCCUGCUGCAGGAGCCUGUCGCGUUAGCCCAGCCGUUGAGACCCACGCUGCCUGCUGGCCGCAUGAGCCCAGUGUGAAUGGUGGUGGUUCGUCCGUGGGCGUCCUCGAACAUGCGAUCCCCCGUUGCCCAGCGUCCUGGCAGGUUGUAAACCUUGCCCCGGAAAUGUGGCGAAUACGACAAAGGAUCUGUACAACAUUAUUUGUAACUGGGUGUGACAGCCGGAGAAUUCAGUAGUUGUGUAACAGUAUGUGUGAAAGACGCUCGAAUAAACGACACCGAAGUGGUACGCAUUAGAAUUCACAACUCAAGAUAACAACAUUUCAUAACGGAUUUGAACUCCUAAUGUAUGGUGGCGUUCCUAGCGGCAAUGGAAGCUAAAUAGCGGAGGUUGGUUAACCACGUGACAGCUUUCAGCAACGCCUGACCUUCUUCGGACGCAUCAUCCGCCAUUGCUGUUCAAAUUAAGUUAAUGCGCUCAAUAGCGACGCGCACAACCUUCACCAAGGCCCAGGAUCCGCGUAAUUGCGGGUGGCUGGCUAAGGGCCGGCGGCUCCGCACAUUGUAAAAGAUUAUCGCUUCGGGCUGAGCUAACAUCAGCUGGGUUAGCUCCUCGUGCUCCUUCAGCCUCCGGUCGAAGUAAGCUGUGAGUGCUGGCGAAAUAACUCGCGCUCCUCAGCUAGCUGCUGUUCGAAGAGGGCCCGCAUUUCGGGAGUGAGCACUAAUCUUUCUGCGCCCGCAGCGCCAAUUUCCAUAGCCGACAUUCGAUUCUAGUAUUGCUAAGAAAAGACGGUGCAACACAUAACUAGAGGACACUGUCCCAGCAGCGGGACACACCUCUUGGUAAUAGUCAAAACAACGGCAGUUAAAGAACCAAUGCGCCUGUGGGACCCAAGUAGGAGCUCGGCGUCCCUUGCCGUACUGCGGUCCGGCACAUGCAUGCAUGCAUGCGCCCGACUUCCACGCACCACGGCAGUUCCUUCGCAAUAACUUGCCU
Molecule: long non-coding RNA, 55945 nt
Filed under: Volvox carteri
Lineage: Eukaryota; Viridiplantae; Chlorophyta; Chlorophyceae; Chlamydomonadales; Volvocaceae
Description: long non-coding RNA (VCAR_LNC002167)
Source: RNAcentral